AAAAAAAAAAAAAAAAAUGUUGAUGAAAAAGCUAAGUGUGAAUGUUUGAGAGGCUAACACAAAGUUUUCUCAAGUUUCUUAAGCUUGAGAGAGUGUUGGGCUCAAGCGAGUUGCUUAAGCCCGUUAAGGGCAAAAAAAUAGGUUUGGGCGUGCUGCCCAGGAUCCAUGGUUGUUGAGUUCAGGGAUUGCCUAGACCCAUUCUUUUUGGACCGUUGGGGCGGUUUUGAGCUUGUUAAACUUGAAUUCAUCGCAAAGAUUUCUAGUUCAUACUCAACAUCAUUUCUAUAUGCUUGCCUUGUUUGUGUUGAGUGUUUGGAAGUGUGGUUGUGAUUGCUUUUUAAAGUGCUUUUCACUCAUAAAUGUAUUAAAAUAAUAUUUUUUUUAUUUUUUUAAAAUUAUUUUUGACAUCAGCGUAUUAAAAUAAUCUAAAAACACAAAAAAAAUAUAUUAAUUUGAAAAAAAAAAAUAAAAAAAUUUCAAGCAAACAGGACCCUAUCAUAUAAUAGGUCGUGGUUGAUAUCCUUGCUUUCUUUACUAUAGCAACAUAACAUUUGUGUGAUGGCCUCCCUUUACUCAGGAGCUUACAUAUUUUUAAUGAAAACUUUGGAGGUACGAUGAACUAGCACAUGAUACAUGAGAUUGAAAAGAUGGACCAUCAACAUCUGAUCAAGAAAUGGAGAAGUUGGAUCUGGCUUACAUAGAUACAUGACUCAUGAGGACCAGCAAGAUACACGAGGAACAACGUUUUCCAGGACAAAUAUCAUUAUCACCGUCCGCCACCGCUGUCUGAUUAAUUUGUGGCUCGUAUUUCAAAUUAAUGACUUGGAGUUCUGUUGUGCACAAAACCUAGAUAUCAUCUCAUCCAUUAAUCACAUGACUGUGCAUCAGAAUGCGUGCAUUUUAAACGUCAAAGCUGGUGAAAAAUUGAUCAAACAAAUCAUAGUUAAACACGGAAACACAAAAAAGAAAAAAAAAUCAUAGAAAUAGAUUUUCAUUUUAUCCAAAUAAAAGGAGAAGACUUCGAUUUUGAUUAUAUAUAUUGCUAUAUAUAGUUUAUAAAUAAGAUAGCAAAAUUUAAAAGAAAUGCUUACAUCAUUUAAAGAAACACGUUGUGUGUGCACGCGCGCAUACAUAUAUAGUACUUACUAUGAACAAAUUAAACUUUUAUUUGCGUUUUAUUUUAGGUCAAAUUUCUUAAAAUUUAGCUGGCUAGAGAAAUAAUGACAACCAAGACACUUAAUAAUAUAUAAUAUUAUAAAAAGAAUAAUGUAAAAAUUAAGAGAAGUUUUAGAGUAUUUUAGAAAAUUAUCAAUAAUUACUUUAUAUGAUAGGGAUAGACAUAAAGAGGAGAGACUAACAUGAGAGAAAAUUAAAAAAUAAUUUUUGAGUUUAGGUGAAAAUAUAUUUUAUCAUUCUUGUUAGGAUCAAAUGUAAUUUUUUUUUUUAUCUUUGUUUUAAUUAUCUAUCUUCUUAAAAUAAACUCGUGGAGCUAUUAGUAGUUACUUUCGAAGUAUUCAAAAAAUAAUUAUAUAAACAUAUUAAAGAACUAGUUUAAUUUAAAAUUUUAAAUUAUUAGAUAAAAUCUUAAAAAUAAUUUUAUAUCAUUUUCUAAUAUAAUUCUUUCAAGUAAAAACUAUUUGAAUACAAAAUUGUUAAUCGCUAUGUUUUGCUUAAUUUUCAUAUUAUCUUGUGUUUUUUUCUUUUAUAUUAGAUAUAAAUAGAUUAUAUUUGCAUGAUGUAUUUAUAAAAAUAAAAUUCAAUCAUCUAAGAUAAAAAAAAACACAUAUUUAAAAAUAAAAUAAUAUUUAAAUAUUUCCAUGCUCAUAUGUAUUUGACUUUUAGGAGAAAGAUUUCCUUUAUAUUUUAGUUUUUUAAAAAAAUAUUAACAACUCUUUAUCAAUUUAAUAAUUUUUUUAUUUAAAUUUAAAUGAAUAUCCCCUCUCUGGAUUUUUAAAAUUUUUAGUUAAUUUAUUUAAAUAUCAUUUAUUUUUUUUAAUUUUUUUAUAUUUUUAUAGUAUUUCAAAGAGACUUUUUUAUAUAUUUAAUAUAAAUAGAAUUUAUUUACAUGAUAUAUUUAUAAAAAUAAAGAAUAUUUGUUCCUGAUAUGAAAAAAAAACCUCUAAGAUAAAAUAAAAAAUACAGGGGUAAAUAUUUUUAUUCUUAGUUAUCCUUUGUUUAUAGGAGAAAUAUUAGCCUUUCAUUUAAGUAUUUAAAUAGAAUUAAAAAUUCCUUUACAAUUUAUAUAUUCAUAUAGCUUUUAAAUUUAUUUUGUUAAGUAUAAAUAGUAUAUAUGUGUUUCUUAAUUAAAACAAACCAUGAUAUAAAAUGAUUAGAUGAUGGUGGACUUUUUAAACCAGUUGGUCCACCAAAACCGACCAUCAAUUUUUAGGAAUUUGGGCCGGUCAUCUGCCACUGUUGUUGUGUAGCCUAAAGGGAGCUAACAUGAUGAAUGUCAUGUGACCUGUUCAUGGAAUGCCACGUAGAAGGGAGUGCCUUAGCUAUCAAACUAGAUGAGUGAGUUAAUAUAUUUUUUUUGAAUGGUAAAAAAUAUUUAAAUGUUGUUAAUAUUUUUUUUAAUAAAAAAUAAAUAAAUUAUGUGAGGGUUUGUCUGAUAUAAUCCAAUUGGUAUUACUUGUUCAAAAACAACCCAUACAACAUGUGAAAAUAAUAUUUGACUAAAUAAAAUUUCAAGAUGAUAUAUUUUCUUAGUAUUUAAAUAACAAUAUAUUUGAUUGAUCUGAGACAAUCCGGGUUAAUAUGUCAAAUUUCUAACCUAGAUUAUGAGAUUAUAAUAACUCUAUAGAAAACAAAUCAAAAUAUAUAAAUUAUGAAGUUUACAAUACAUGAAUAAUUGUAUUUUCUAUUUUAACUAAAGAGUUUUUUAGAAGAAAUCAAUAGAUCUUGUCAAAAAGUAUAUAUUCUUUUUUCUAAAGAAAUCAAACAUAAUAUAAAAAAUAUAACCAAGGAUCUCCUAUAAAACAAAUAACUAAGAAGAUCCAAUUUAAUAAUUUGUUGAAUUUUAAUGUAAUAUUAGUAUUUUUUGAAUCUGAAUCAUAUGUGGUAUGUAUAGAUUAAAAUAUAGGCAGGAAUAUAAGUUUUAUGAAUUUCUUUGUUUAAAAGAAUCCUCUUUUAAUAGUAGUGAUAAUAGAAAGUAAUAAUAAAAACAAAUUGUGAUUAAAUGAAUAAAAAAUAAUGUAAAACAUUUUUAAAAAAUUAUAUUAAUGUUUCAGCCUGUUUUUGAAUUAUAGAUGGAGUUAAAUUUAUAUAUUAGUAUUGACAUAUGUUUAGUAUUGUAUUAUAUAUAUAAAAAAAUAUUCUUAUUUUUUAAAUGUAGAACUUUUUAACGCAAUAUAUUUUGUAUUUAUUAAUAAAUUCAUUUUAAUACAUGUAAUGAUUUUUUAAAUUUUAAGAGUAUUUUUAUCAUGAUUAUAUAUAUUAAUAAAAAAUAACAUUUUAAAAUUGAGUUCAUAUAAAAAAACAUAGAUUUUCUUACUUAAAGUGAAGAAUCCUCAAUAAAAUUUGAAUUAGAACACAGAUACUAACAAACUAUGCGUUUGUAGUGGCUAAAUUUACUGUGAGAGGUUAAAUUAUGUUGAGAUUGGAGGGGAAGGGUGUGGCUAUUUGUUGCAAAAAAAAAAAUCAUAAGAAAGAAGGAGAAAUAGGGAAGGGGAGAGAAGGGUUGAUCACCAAGUCAUAAAUUAAAUAUUACCAACGGUAUUAUCAAUGUAAUUAUUUUGUUAGUAACUUCAUUGGUCAUUCUAUCGGUAAAAAUAUCAUGUCACCGUACAAUUUGAUUUUUUAAAUCUUACUAUAAUAACCUCUGUAAUUCUCUCAUUAUAUACCGAAUUGUUUUUAUGUUGGCAUAUUUACGGAUGUACUUUACCGUCAGGUUAGCCAUGUCACCAUACAAUUUGUUUUUUUGAAUCCUAUUGUAAUUCUCUUAUUAUAUACCAAGAAAAUUUUUCCGUUGGCAUAUUUACGGAUUUACUUUACCUUCAAGUUAAUUCUGUUGGUAAUGUCGUCUAUAAAAAUUACAAGUCAUCAUACUGUUUAGCUUUUUUUUAUUUUUUAUUUUCCCAAUGCAAUUCUCUCUGUAUAUACCGAGGAAGUUUUUUGUCGGUGUUUACUGAUAGAUACAUGGAUGGAAAAUUCUAUCAGUAUAGGUCAUCACAACAUACCGACAUAAAAAUUAUGUCGGUGUUUUCGUUUGUAUUUGUUAAUUUUCUGAUAGUAAAUCAUAUGUUGGAGCUUCAUCUAAAAAUUUAAAUUAUUGAGUUGAACUGGUUCUUUGACAUGAUAUUAGAGUUUGAAUCUUAUUACCCUCAUUAAUUAUCUCUUCUAAUUAAAAUUAAUUAAUAUAAGUUUUAGGUUUGAAGAAACAGAGUUUUCUUAUUUAUCAAAUCUGAUCAUACAAUCUCUUUAUACAUAAGAAAUAUAAACGUAAACUUGUCAGUUAUAAUAAUUUAAUAAUAGCAUAGCAGCUGUAAGCAUUAUAUGCUGGCAUUCAUUGGUUUUAAACCAUCCGUUACUAAUCAUAAUUACGAUAAUUGCCUAACAUCCCCCCACAAUCUAGACACCGAAUAGGUGACGAGUUUGGAAACAAGACAUUCAAAACGGUCAACUGGUAACCCUUUUGUGAAGACACCUGCAAGUUGAAGUUGAGAAGGGAUGAAAUGAACUUUGUGACUGCCAGAGGCGACCUGUUCACGAACAAAAUUCAACGAAAAUAAUGACAAAAAUACAAAAAUAAUGCAAAAAAAUACAAAAAAAAAAGAAAAAGGAAUGAAAAGUUAUUACUUUAAUGGCGUGCUUAAUUUUGAUUGAUAAUUAAAAAAACAAAAGAGAAAAAGAAAAGAAAAGAGAUUGUUAAUAAACCCAAAAAAAAUGAAGAAAAACAACAUACAUGAGGAUGAGAAAAGAAUGCUUGAUUUAGACGGAGAAGAAGAGAAGAGAAAGAGAUAGAAAUAGCUCUGUGAGAGAAAAAGAGAGAAAUAGAUGAAGCUAUGUCUGUUCUGAUUCUGGUCUUUUAAGUUAAUUUUACAAAUAGAAUUACCGAUAAAAUAUUAAAUAUUUAUAUUAAUGAUUUCGCUUGUAAAGUCGUAUUGAAAUUUAAUGGUCUUGGUAUAUGGACACUUUUUACCAACAGAAUCAUAGGCAGAAAAUUAAAUAUUAAUAUUUUAAUAUUUUCAUCAGUGAUUCCAUCAAUAAAAUCAAAUGUAAAUUUUUAAAUUGCAUAAAAUUUUUCAAAAAGCCCUCCAAAUAUUACCGAGGACUUUUCAUUCUGUUAGUGAUGCUGUUGGAAAACAAAAGUUAAUAGUCAAAAGAACAUUAAGUAUUAGGGUAUUGAGAAGUGAACUGUUCCGUAGUCUCUAGAAUAUACCGAAAGACAUAUUAUGUCAGUAUACCCUUAUAUAAUGAAAACUAUAAAUAGUGUCAGGGAGAAGACGAGCAAUUCACAUGGUCACUGGAAUAUAUCGAUGAACACAUUUCAUCUGUAUACUCGUAUGUAAUAUACAGUAUGUCAUAACCCAAUUUUUAAACAAAUAAUAAAAAAUUAAAUAUAGUUGACAAUGGGGUUAAGACAAUAAAAUUUGAAGUUUGGGGAUGUAAUUUGAGAGUUAAUUGAUCAAUUUUGAAAGAAUUAAAAGUUAAAGAUUUAAUUAAGGGCUAAAUUGAACAAUCUGGAAAUUAAGGACUGUUUUGUAAACAGUGUUAUAAUUCAGGGAUUUAAUUGAAAUUAAUCCAAAAGGGCAAAAUUAAAAGAAUUAAUUAAGGACCAAAUUGAACAAUCCAGGAAUUAAAGACUGUUUUGUAAACAGUGUACCAAUUUAGGGAUUUAAUUGAAAUUAAUCCAAAAGGGGCAAAAUUAAAAGAAAUUUUUAAUUGCUUAGGGGUCCAAUUGCCGAAUUUCCAAAGUUCAGGGGUCAAAAAGAAAAUGUCCAUUGCUGCUGAAACGUUGCCGUUGCUGGUGGAAUCCCUUGCUGCCGAAACGCCGCCGUUGCUGGUGGAACAUAUUUAUCUGUUUUAUAUGUUUUAUAUGUUUUUAUAUGUUUUAUUUCUCAUUUUACCAUAUUUAUCUUGAGUUGUGUAUUGGAUGAUCCUAAGAGAAUUUUCAACACGAGGGAGAUUAAACCUCCUCAUUGUAUAAUUGUAACAUCAAGAAGCCAUAGAUAAUGACUGGUAGAUGACAUAGUCUAUCAGGACUCUCCCUUUUCAAAGACAAGUAGAGUACAAAACAUUAUAGAUUAAUAACACAUUUAUAGUGUGUGGGGGCAAUCUGGUGUUUAUCACGACUCUCCCUUUUGAAAAUCUUUUGUUAUAUAAAGCCACACAAGGAACACCAUGCAUGUCAAGACCAUUAGUAGAUCGAGUUGUUUGAUCAUGGAAUAUCUUGCUGCAACUUCCUUCACAACCCUAUUACGCUUCCCAACUUCACUUCUUGUCUUAGCAAUCAUACUGUUUUACUUCAUCCAAUCCCAUAAGAAUGUCAAGAAACACCCAAUUCCACCCGGUCCAAAACCAUGGCCUAUUGUUGGAUGCCUCCCUACCAUGCUCCGAAACAAGCCAGUGUAUCGUUGGAUACACAAUCUCAUGAAAGAAAUGAACACUGAAAUAGCUUGUAUCCGUUUAGGAAAUGUUCACGUGAUUCCUGUCAUUUGUCCUGAUAUUGCUUGUGAAUUCUUAAAAGCACAAGAUAAUACCUUUGCAUCUAGACCUAAUACCAUGGCCACAGAUCUCAUCUCGAGCGGUUACUUAGCAACAAUUCUCUCUCCCUCUGGAGACCAAUGGAAUAAAAUGAAGAAAGUUCUUAUGACUCACGUACUUUCUCCAAAAAAACAUCAGUGGCUUUAUAGCAAAAGAGUUGAAGAAGCUGAUCACCUUGUUCAUUACGUGUAUAACCAGUGCAAGAAGUCUGUGCAUCAAGGUGGCAUUGUGAAUUUGAGAACUGCUGCCCAGCACUACUGUGCAAAUGUGACUAGGAAGAUGCUGUUCAAUAAGAGGUUUUUUGGGGAGGGAAUGAAAGAUGGUGGACCUGGUUUUGAGGAAGAGGAGUAUGUGGAUGCACUUUUCAGUUGCCUUAAUCAUAUAUAUGCAUUUUGCAUCUCGGAUUUUUUGCCAUCUUUGAUAGGGCUUGACUUAGAUGGGCAUGAGAAGGUGGUGAUGGAGAAUCAUAGGAUCAUCAAUAAAUACCAUGAUCCCAUAAUCCAUGAGAGGGUUCAACAAUGGAAGGAUGGUGCAAAGAAGGAUACGGAGGACUUGCUUGAUAUUUUAAUUACCCUAAAAGAUCGUCAUGGCAAUCCCCUGUUGUCAAAAGAUGAGAUAAAAGCUCAAAUUACAGUAAGAUUUAUAUGCAUUUACAUUUUGAAUUCCACAUGGAAACACAUAUUUAAUGUCUUUAAUUUUAAGUAACUAGCCAGGCACACAAUUGCUUGGAGAAAAAAGACUUAAUUAAUUAUACCAGUGAUGAGCUAGUUAUAGCUUAACUGGCACCGUGUCCUUUCCUUUGAGAGUCUCAAGUUUGCAUCUCUUUCCUUAAAAAAAAAAUUGUAAUAAUCAAGUUUCACUACUGUAUAUCAUAUAUAGUAAUGAUUUUCAAACAUGAUGACACUUGCAGGAAAUAAUGGUUGCAGCAGUGGACAAUCCAUCAAAUGCUUGUGAAUGGGCAUUCGCAGAGAUGCUAAACCAACCUGAGAUACUUGAAAAGGCUACUGAAGAACUGGAUAGAGUGGUUGGAAAGGAGAGACUUGUCCAAGAAUCAGACUUCGCGCAUCUCAAUUACGUGAAGGCAUGUGCUAGAGAAGCAUUCAGGCUUCACCCUGUGGCACCAUUUAACGUUCCUCAUGUGUCGGCCGCCGAUACAACAGUUGCCAACUACUUCAUCCCGAAAGGUUCCUAUGUUCUGCUUAGCCGUCUAGGACUGGGCAGAAACCCUAAAGUAUGGGAUGAGCCGCUCAAGUUCAAGCCAGAGCGCCACCUCAAUGAAAUGGAGAAGGUGGUGCUGACUGAGAAUAAUCUGCGAUUCAUUUCGUUUUCCACUGGAAAACGUGGGUGCAUAGGUGUGUCACUUGGGACUUCAAUGACUACCAUGCUAUUUGCUAGACUUCUUCAAGCGUUUACUUGGAGUUUACCACCUCGUCAAUCCAGCAUCGACCUUACCAUUGCAGAAGACAGCAUGGCUCUUGCAAAACCACUGUGUGCACUUGCAAAACCACGCUUGCCUCCACAAGUGUAUCCUGGAUACUGAAGGGAGUACAAGGACGUCUGCGUAUGCUGCAAAAUAUUAUCAAUAGACGUUGUGCCAGAACAUUAGCAGUUAAUGUAAUAAACUCUGGCAACUUUUAUAUUGUUGAGAAAAGAAACAUAAAGGAUUUGUGUUUAGAAUUCUUCUUUAAAAUUUUUUAAUGGAUUAUGAUAGUUUGAGCUUAUAACCCCUAGUAAAAACAAGAAUAUAAUUUAAGAGUGCUGAAUAUUGUUGCUCCCAUUUUGGGGGGCCCAUAAAACCCAAAAAAAAAAAAAAAAGAAAGAAGAAGAAAGCAAAGAGAAAAUUAAAAAAAAAAAAGUUGGAAGAAAAUCACAAAAAUAUAUUAGUAAGAAGAAUAUACCAGAACGCCCAGGAAAUUACCGAAGAUUGAUUGAGGAAGAUCAAAAUAUACAAGAUUAAAAAAGUUAACAAUGUAUUUUCGACUAAUUAAAGCCCCCUUGGCAAAGGAAGAUUAAAUUUAAGGAGAAAAAGUCAAAUUGGAUGUUUAAGGAUUCAAUUGGAAUUUUUCAAGGUUUAAUUGAAUUUAUUGAGGACUUAAUUGCAAGAAAAAUUGAUUUUUAAGUCAAUUUAAACUUUAAUUGGAAGAAAUUAAAGUCUAGGGGUCGAAUUUUAAUUUUUAAGAGUUAAUUUGGUUCAAUCAGAGGCUUAAUUACAUAAAUAUUAAAGUUUAAUGGGCAAUUAAAGACUUGAUUGAAGAAAUCCAAAACUAAGCACCAAACUGAAAAAAGAUACAUGAAUGUAAAGGUUGGAAUUGAUCAAAUCACGGGUCCAAUUAAAGAAAUUAGAAGUUUGUUGGCCAAUUAAGGGUCGAAAUGCAUAAAUUUAGAACCAAAAACUAAAAUAAAAAUAACGGUCAACUUUGGGGCUGAUAAUUGAGUUUAGAAAUGAUGAAAUUGCAUGAAAUUAAAUAUCUUAAAGCAAUUACCGGUAUAAUUAAAAGCAAUUAAAAAAAAAAAUACUCAAUCAAAAUUUUUCAAAUCCUGAAUUAAAAACUCUAAAUGGCAUGUCGUGCAGACUUUCUUGAAUAUUUUGAUAAACGAUUAAAAAAAAUAAUUUUAUAAAUAGUAAUUAACAAGUACUGGUGUUUUAUUCGAAAACAUUUAGCAUUGCUCUUAAUUUCCGGAAAGCAUGAAUUUAUCUCAUAAAAUAGCCAAAUUGCUAAUUAACAGCUUGUGUUCGAUGAAUACGAUCAUCCAAAUUCUUCUCCUCGUAGUUAUAUUAACUGCCAAGUUAUAAACUAAAACAUUCCAAGUAGCAGCAGCAAGCAUACAUUGGAAUCUCAAAAAAUUAAAGAUAUGAAUAAUUACUAUAAUUAAUAAACUUUCUGUAACUAAUUAAAGACUGGAGAUCAUGAUCAGAGGAUGAAAGAAGACAAAUAUGAUGCCGGAUCGACUAAUUAAUUACUACUGACAUGAUUUUGUGGUGUGGUCAAUAUUUUUGUUUCACUACUUGGGAUGGUAGAAUCAAUGCUGGCUUGACUAAUUAAUUAAUUAAUUAAUUAAUGCAUGGUGAUUAAGAUAAACACUGUUAUAUAUAUAUAUAUAUAUAUAUAUAUAAUUAAUGGAUUCUACUUAGUUUAAUUAAAUUUAUAUUAUUUUAUUAUAUGAUAAAACAAAAUAUGAAAAUUCAUUCAAAAUUAAUCUAAUAUUGAAUGAUAAAAUUUAAAAAAAUAAUAAAAAAUCCAAUAUUAAAUGAUAUAAUUAAAAAAAAACAAAAAACAAAAAAAAUAUAAAAGGCAAAAAAAAAAAAAAGAGGUCGGUUGCACAGGCCUAAGGCAAACACAACAUGCCUAGGCCAUGUAUUUUUUUCUUUUUAAAAAUGACGAAUAACAUGCCAUCCACCCCUAUUUUUUUUUUUAAAAUAAUAGCAAAUAACAUCACGAGAUCUAACUAUUACUAUGGUGGCUAAAAAGAAUAACUUUUUGUAUAUUGUGGGACCCACAAAAUAAAAAACAAGAAAAACUUAUUCUUUAUGGUAGAUUUUUGUAUUUAAUUGUAUAUUAUAAAAAAAAAACAAUCACACCCCACCACCCCUCUAUACUAAUUGUUUUAAUUUUAUAAUAGCAUCUUAAAAGUGUUUUUUUUUAAAUUUAAUUUUUUUUGUUUUAAAUUAAAAAUUUUUGGUGUUUUCAGAUCAUUUUGAUACGCUAAAAUAUUAUUUUAAUAUUUCCAAGUAAAAAACACUUUAAAAAACAAUUGUAAUUAUAACCGAACUCUCAAAUACCCUUCUAAUAGCACGUGAUACAUAUUGAUCAGCAGGAAAAGAUCAAACAUGCAUCUAUGUGGCCAAGAUUAAUGGAGUCGGUGUGACCAUUGGUUAUAGACGUACAAAAGGGGCAAACGUUUUCCACAACAAAACUAUUCAACUGGGUUUAAUUAUUUCCAUGUCUGAUGAUACACUUAUCACUGUCCACAUAUCUCCUACUUCUGUGCUUCAAGUAAUCUUCGGAUUAUGCCGUCCAUAGCAUGGCAUUCACAGAGAUACAAACCAUAUUCGUUGGAAUUUAACUUUAGGAGACAAGGAGGAUCUAUAUAUAUAUUUCUUGCCAACAACACAAUAUUUUAAACUCUUUAAAAAUUCAAUUCUGCAGGAUAGAUAUGCAAGUAUUGACUAUUACAUAAAGUUUAACUGGUUAUGAAAUCUCAUAAAGGAGGAUGGGAGAAUUGAGAUUAUCUAUUAUAAAAGUGAAAAACAAGUCUAUUCUUUUAAAUUAAUUAGAAUUAUUUUUUAAACUAAAAAAUUAUUUGGAUUAUGAUAGAUUUAGCUUGUAAUCCUCUGGAUUAAAAAAGAGAAGCUGAAAAUUAUUUGUUUGUUUAGUUUUCAGCUAUUUCUGCGUCAAUCAACAAGUGAUUUUGCGUGCAAUAAAUGGCCGAAAAGGAGGUUCAUCUUUAUCAAGUACUAGGCUAAUAAAUUGGAGGGGUAUUUGAUCAAAUAAAUGGUUGUUAAACAUUUAAACACAAACAAUAAUUUUAAUUGAAUAUUUUCAUUUGAUAAAAAAAAGGUAACCGACUUCGAUAAUUAUAUUGAUUUUUUAUACUAAAAUUCAACAAAAUAAUGCAAAACUUAUUAAAUUAAACAACUAAAAUUCAACAAAAUUAUUUCUUUAAUCCUAAAUUUUAAAAAAAUUUAUUGUAAAUGGAAUAAAUAUAAAAUAAUAAUUAAAACUAAUUCUACAUAUUUAAUUGAAAUUGAACAAAACAUUUGAAAAAUAAACUAAAAUUCAACAAAAUAAUACAAAAACUAUUUCAAUAAUAACUAAGAUUCAACACAUUUAUUAAUUCAUAAAAUUAUUAAGACGAAAUUCAACGAAAAUAAUGACAAAAAUACAAAAAUAAUGCAAAAAAAUACAAAAAAGAAAGAAAAAGGAAUGAAAAGUUAUUACUUUAAUGGCGUGCUUAAUUUUGAUUGAUAAUUAAAAAAACAAAAAAGAAAAAGAAAAGAAAAGAGAUUGUUAAUAAACCAAAAACAAAUAAAGAAAGACAACAUACAUGAGGAUGAGAAGAGAAAAGAAUGCUUGAUUUAGACUGAGAAGAAGAGAGAGAAGAGAAGAGAAAGAGAUAGAAACAGCUCAGUGAGAGAAGAAGAGAGAAAAGGAUGAAACUUCAUCUGUUCUGAUUCUGGUCUUUUAAGUUAAUUUUACCAACAGAAUUACCGAUAAAAUAUUAAAUAUUUAUGUUUUUAAUAUUUAUAUUAGUGAUUUCGUUUGUAAAGUCGUAUUGAAAUUUAAUGGUCUUGGGUAUCUGGGCACUUUUUACCAACAGAAUCAUAGACAGAAAAUUAAAUAUUAAUAUUUUAAUAUUUUUAUUAGUGAUUCCGUCAAUAAAAUCAAAUGAAAAUUUUUAACUUGCAUAAAAUUUUUCAAAAAGCCCUCCAAAUAUUAUCGAUGACUUUUCAUUAUGUUAGUGAUGCUGUUGGAAAAAAAAGAGUUAAUAGUCAAAAGAACAUUAGUUAUUAGGGUAUUGAGAAGUGAACUGUUCUCAUAGUCUCUAGAAUAUACCGAAAGACAUAUUAUGUCGGUAUACCUGUAUGUAAUGAAAACCAUAAAUAGUGUCAGGAAGAAGAUGAACAAUUCACAUUGUCGGUAUAUCUAUAUACUCAUAUGUAAUGUACAAUCUAUUGGUAUUUUUAUCACUAUAAAACAAUUUCUAAUGCCGAAUUGUAUUUGUACUCUCUAUCUAUCUAUCUAUCCAACAAAUACUUCAAUUCACAACUGCACACACAACACAAUAACACCAGUUCAUAUCACAGUAAUAAAAUAAAUAUUUCCUUAUGAUUCAAUAAUAAAUUAACUUCAUUGUCAUUAUAUUGAACUGAAUUUUAUCCAAAUAUUACAUUAUAGUUUAUGGCAUUACACAUUCAUCAAUUGACUCGUCUUCAUCUCCAUCGCAAUCUUCUACGUUGAUUUCAUCGUUAUCAUUAUUCAACUCCUUGGUGUCAACAUCAACAAAAAUAUUCUUGGCGAUGCUAAAAUUUAAAUUUUCUUCUAAGUCAUUAGACGAAGCAACUCGAUAUGGAUUAACUAACUCACCAAGUUGAAAGAUCUCAUCUCUCACAGUUAAUUCAUCGGUACCAUUAUGAACAACCUCGACAUGACCCCUAAGUUUGGUUUUCACUACGGAUAACCAAUCAACUCUGGAACGAUCCUUUCUAAAGGAAUGGGUGUAUAUAUAAUAAACUUACUAGCAUUGCUUGGCGAAAAUAAAAACAUCAUCGACGUUGCGAAGUCUAGCUUUUGAAUUAAUUUCGACCAAACCAUGAUGAGGAUAUAUUUUGAUUUCUUUGUCAAUGGUAUCAUACCAAUAACAUUUGAAUAAAAUUUUUUUAUCCUUUUUGCUAUGAUAUUACAAUUCAAUGACCUUUUACAACUUUCCAUAGUAGUCAACUUCAAAUUCAUUAGAAGUUGAUCCUUUAACACAAAUUCCAUUGUUAUAUGUCUUUCUACCCUGCCCAUAUUCUUCAGUAUGAAACACAUGUCCAUUAAAAAAAUACUUGUUGUAGCACUUCACAUUUCUUUUAGGACCCAAACUUAAUAAAGACAAAGUAGCACUAACAUUCCCUCUUAAUUAAUAAACCCGGUACAUGAAAUACAAUCAUGAACAAUUAAUGAGAAAUGUAUAAUGAAAUUAUGUAUCCUAAGAGAUAAGAAUAAUUAAAAAGUACUUACAUGUGUUCUGAACCACGUGGAAAAUUGUUCAUUUUAUAAUCGAAAAAUUUGGGAUUUAGUCAGCUGUGAGUUUUAGAACAGUAAAUAUUGAUGAUGUUGCCUAUAAGAAAUUCAACAAUGUAUCAGUUUAUAAUAUUAUAAAAGAUAAAUUGUUAAAAAAUAAUAACAUAUUAAGUAGUAUACUUACAGAAUAAAAAGUCUUAGUUCAUCAUAAUAAUGUGCUUGUUUGAAUUCUAUUACACUAAUGAAGCCUCUAAUUCAAAUCAAUCAAUCCCAAUGAAAAAAAAUAAAUUUCUACCCCCCCAACAUGUGGUUUACAUGCAUUCUGUUGCACGUCCCCCGCGCGGUGUCCGAUGGCUAUUUUUUGUUUGAUUUCGGGUUUAUUUGUUUUUGUGAAUAAAGGAGUCACCACCUAGUAUUUCGAUCCCUAGGAAACCUGACUGGUCUUUCAGAGAUUAUAAGGCAAGGGACUGGUUGCGCAAAGGGAAGGUAUUAGCACCCCUGGUACGCCCUACCUAAGGUAAGCUACUUGGUGUUUGGUUUGCUUUAUAAUUGCUAUGGUGUUGGUGUUUUUCUAAAAUAGGUUUCCUAUAAUAGGUUUGCUAUGAUGAAUGAAUUUGGGUUCAAAGUCUAAAAGCAAGAACCCUUGGUCAAUGUGGAUCACACCCUUAGAUAUGUCUACAAAGUACCAAGGAGAACCAAUGCAGAUCUCUUGAAAUCUGUGUUUGAUUCAGAUUAAAUUUAUUAAGAUAGCAAUCCAAGGAGAUUCCAUGUGCUUUAAAAGCUCAUUUUUCCCUUCUUAUUUCAAAAGUUUGCGACUCAUAAAUCACAAGGAGGAGGGACAAAUUUUUUUUAGAAAUCUAAGGAAAUUCAGGGCGCUUUAAAAGCCUAUUUUUUUCUUAGUGUUUCAUACUCUCACGGCUCGUAAACCGUGGAGUAAAAAAUUGAAAUGUCCUCGAUUAUAAUCAAGGCUUCUUUCAAGGAUGUGUGAUGACUUAUUAUUCCUAGAAAAUUAUUUUGGAUAUUUACCACUAAGAGCUUCUUUAUCCAAAUAUUAACAGCGAAUAAUAACAAGUUAUUCCCAAUAAUAUUUUGGAUAUUCAUCCCUUUGGGAUUUCUUUAUCCAAACAUUAAUGGUGAAUUAUAGAUGAUUUCUCCCCAAAAUAAGAUUUUUAUAUUUUUUUUGGAAUAUUGGCCAACACCCUUUGGAGUUUUACAAACAUGUUGUAAAAUCCAGAAAUGUAAGAAAAUAAUUUUUUGUUGUGUUUAAGAAAUCCAUGCGAAAACACAUUUUCUUUUAAACUUCAAAUAUUUGUUUUUUUAAGAGGAAAUUCAAAAUAUGUUAGGGUAUUGGCCGUAUACAACACAUAAAAAUAUUUUUUUAUAUUUUUUAUCGAAAAAACACAAGCAUCACAGUUAAUCGCAAUUAAAGACAACAAAACCCAACCCGGUUACUGGCUUAAACCAGUAACCGGUUCUACCACAGUUGCAUGCAUAUGCAUGCUACAGUGGCAGGGUAAUUAAUUUGGUAAAGACAAGGAAAGAAAGACUUACGUGCGAGGCAGCGGCUGGAGGCGAAGUGGGAGACGACUAGUUGCUGCCCAUGUCUCAUUUUCCCCCACGGUUGUAGCCGGUGCAAGACGACUGGGCUGUUGAGAAGCGCCAGUGAAGAGAUUAUUGUGCUGGCGAAGAAGAAGUUGCAUCGUUGGUCUAACUGGUGUGAACGCCGCUGGUGCAGAUGGAGGAGGUGUUGUUAUUGCUUUCCAGAGCUCACAGUGCCUAUGGAAGAAAGGGUUGCACCGCUGGAGGAGAAGAAACUGGAGACAGAAACGAAGGGACGAAGGCGAUGGGGAAGGCAUGCUGGUUGGUCUCUCGGUGUUUUCGUCUAUUUAUGUUGUUUCCUUCUGCUCGUCCAUGUCUUGCUCUUGUGUUCGUCAUGUCUCUACUGAGAGGACAUGGUUGCUGCUGCUGUGGGGCUCGAUGGAGGCCGGUCUGGGGCUACGUUGACAAAGAGGGCUGCUUCGGGUGCAGGGGAAGAAACGGGUUGUUGUGGUCCAAAGGCAAAAUAAAAAUGAGGGCUGAGCUAGGAGGUCAGGAGAGAACGAUGAUGGGUAAGAAGAAAGGUGAGUGGCGGCUUUUUAGGGGGUUAUGGGAAUGGCGAGGCUGUGUAGCAGGGGAGAAUGGAAGGUCUGUGGAAAUGGGGGGAAGGCGGCGGCUUCUGUGUAUUUGUGUGGUUUUUCUGGUUUGCUUUGCCAAGGCCAAAAAGGGGGGAAGGAGGCGGCUUGUUUUUUUUUUUUUUUUUUAAGAGAGGAGGGGUUGCGGCUCCGGGAAGAGAAACGGGUUUAGGUUUUUUUUAUUUUUAAGGUCUUUUGUGUUUGGCUCCCUUUUUUCUGAAAAAUUGCCCCUCCUUGAAUAUUUUUCUCCCCCCUUUUUUAUUAUGGCCGAAAGUUCACUUAUAUAGAAAAUCUCUACAUGUGUUAUUCAAGAAAAUAUUGCAAUAAUUAUUGCAGAGAUUGUCUUCUAUAACCAGCACCAACAAAUCCUAUAUAUAUGAUAUUUUAUAUUGUAGUGAUUAUAUAUGAUUCAGUAAUUAUCUCCUUGACAUAUUGCUUCUUUAAUAUUAGUCUUUAUGCUCUAUGUUAUCGCUACAUGUAAACCCUUAUUUUUUUAUUUUAUUUUUUUAUUUUUAUUUUUUUUAAAAUUUAUCAAAACAUGAAUCAAAAAUUGGGUAGCAACACAUUCUAUCAUGUGGUUUGCAUGCAUUCUAUCUUUUCGAAAAUCAGAUUCAAGAUUAUUGCCAAACACUGUAUAAGGUUCAAUCUUAUUUAUAAUUCCACUCAAUCAAAAGUUUUGAUCAUGGCCAUCUAUAAGCUAACUUUUCUUAACAGGGUUCCACAUUUUACAUGCAUUUGGAUUGUGACUGCUUUUUUGCCCUUAUAAGAUUACAUUUCAAACAGGGAAGCUAGCCGCCUGCGUUUAAAUUUUCAUGAACCACUGCAUAUUGAUAGUCUGCUUCUCUCUCUCUCUCUCUCUCUCUCUCUCUCUCUCUCUCUCUCUAUAUAUAUAUAUAUAUAUAUAUAUAUAUAUAUAUAUAUAUAUAUCAAAUGCUCACUGUUUUGAAAAUUUAGAAAUAAUUCAAAACACAAAAAAACAUCAAUCAUUGAAAUUUUGAAAAAGUUUUUAUGAAAUUAAAAACAUUUAAACUGGAAAAUUUCGAAAUUGCUCUUUGUUUUAUGGCUCAAGCCAAGGCAUUAAGGAAGCCUAAACAAAAAAUUCAAAAUUUCUCUCCAAGCUUUAAUUUUUUGGAAAAUAUGAUCGUGGGGAUGGAUAUUUCAUUAUUUUAGACUAUAUUAUUUUUAUUUAAUCGUUAAGAUUUUCUCAAAAAAAAUUAAUUUUAUUUAAAUAGAAAAGAGACUUAUUAGAAUAUUCGGUAUAUUAGGAUUUUAUUUUUAGUCGAUUAAGUUUUUCGACUUAAGGAUAUAAAAGAUUUUCAAUUUGAAAUAUAUUCUUCUAUAUUCGGAAAUCUAGGGAAUACUUAUAUUAAAUUGUUAAAGCAUUGAUGUAAUUAUAUAGACAGCAUAUAUAUGAAAAAUAGAGAAAAUGAAUUUUUUAUUUUGAAAAAAAUAAAGUGUCGAAAGUUUUUUAAUUGUGUUUUAAAAGAAAAAUAAUAAAUCAUAGAGAGGGAGAGAGAAGAGAAAAUAAGUAUGGAAACAAAAACAUACGAGUAAAAUCUCUUCGUAAAAACAAAAAAACAAUUGUGUUUUGAAUUAUUUCUAAAUUUUCAAAACAGUGAGCAUUUGAGAUAUAUAUAUAUAUAUAUAUAUAUAUAUAUAUAUAUAUAUAUAUAUAUAUAGAGAGAGAGAGAGAGAGAGAGAGAGAGAGAGAGAGAGAAGCAGACUAUCAAUAUGCAGUGGUUCAUGAAAAUUUGAACGUAGGCGGCUAGCUUCCCUGUUUGAAAUGUAAUCUUAUAAGGGCAAAUAUCUUAAGGAUAAAUAAGUCAUGUUGUAUUUUUUAUAAAGAUGCAAGAACAUGUUUUUGUAUAUAUUUUGAGAUUUAAUAACUGGUUUAUUAAAUUUUUAAGAAUUUGGUUAAUAUUUCAAAUUUUUAUAUCACAUCAAAACCAUGAAGCAGCUUAUCUUAGGUAGGGUGCGCUAGGGGUGCUAAUAUAUUCUCUAGCCAUAACCAGUCAUUUACCCUCGAAUCUCUAGUAAAGACCAGUACACCCGAGUUUCCUAGUAGCCCUGAAUCAAAUACUAGGUGGCGACUCCCAAGACCCCACAUCAAGCAAAUAAACGAAAAUCAUCAUCAACGUCGCGUCGGGGACGUGCGACAGAAUGGAUACUUCGCUGGGGAAGGUAUCAUUUUUGACAUUAUUGGACCUAAGCUUUGUGUCUUUGACAAGUUGCGUCCUUAAUUACCUCAGCAGGAGCCAUUGUCAUUUAAGGACGCCAACAGGUAUGUGACUUGGCACACUGCCAUGCAGGAGGAACUUCGGGCACUUCACUCUAAUCAGACUUGGUCGUUGGUGCCCCCCCCCCCCCACCCCAUCCGUCUAUGAAUGUGAUUGGAAGUAGAUGGGUUUGCAAGAUUAAAAGACAUGCUGAUGGUCAGGUCACCCAAUAUAAAGCACGGUUGGUUGCUCGCAGCUUCACUCAGCAAGAGGAGAUUGAUUAUUUGGAGAUGUUCAGUCCAGUGAUUAAGCCUAUAACGGUUCGCCUUGUGCUCACUAUUGCUGUCUCAUAUGGUUGGAACAUUCAUCAGUUGGAUGUUCAUAAUGCUUUCCUGAAUGGUAUUCUUCAGGAAGAGGUAUACAUGGCGCAACCGCCUGGGUUUGUUGAUCCUGCACUCCCGUCUCAUGUGUGUCGUCUUCAUAAAUCUUUGUAUGGCUUGAAACAAGCCUCUCGUGCUUGGUACAACCGGUUGAGUGAGUUUUUACUAUCCAUUGGAUUUCAGACAUCCAAUGGUGAUACUUCCCUCACUACCAGAAAUUCGCUAAAUACCAACGGAUUUACAGACGGAAUAUUUCUGUUGGUAAUUUGAGGUCGAAAUUACCGACGGAUACUUUUCCGUCUGUAAUUCAGUCGGUAACUACCGACGGACCAUUUUUCGUCCGUAAUUCAGUCGGUAACUACCGACGGAAAUUUUUCGUCGGUAGUUACCGACUGAAUUACGAACAGAAAAGUUUCCGAAUUAAAAAAAAAGACGGGUCGCUGACGUGGAGGUUUUGGCGGGUUAUUUUGUUCCGACGGAUUCAAAACGACAGCCCGUACAGCGACGUGACUGGUUCGCCGUUUAAAUUGCCGACGGACUCAUCGAGGGAUUUGAAAUGGCAGAUCCGUGGGGUGACGUGUCUAUGUGUCCGUCAGAAUCACCGACGGAGUGUCCGUCAGUGAAACCGUCGGAAAAAGAUAAUAUAUGUACAUGUCAGCUCUGCUGACCCUCUCCUCCCCUAUUUCUCCUUCUUCUUCCUAAUCCCAACUCCCCCCCCAAAAAAAAAUAUUCCUUAUAUCAGCACAACAAGUUAUAUUUCUUGAAGUUUUGUGGUCACAGCAUCCGUGUUCUGAUUUACCGACGGAUUUUAUCAAUUUUUGUAAGUAAUUCUAUCUUUUUAAAUUUUGACAUUUAAUUAAAUGUCAAUUUUAUUGUUUUUUUAGUAUAUGUAUUUUGUUAGUAUAUGAAUUACAUGUGCUAUUUUGAAAUAAUUAAUAGCUUGCUUAAUGGGUCCGUUUAAAGUUUUAUCAAUGGUAUUGCGGAGUGAUAAUUUCUGUAAAUUUAUAUAUUUUAAUUCGUAUGGACGUUGAUAAAUAAUAAUGAAUAUUUAAUAUUUAUGAGAAGUUGUGAUUGGUUUGUUGGAUAAUCUCGAGGUAAAGUAAUAGUUUUGCAAGUUUAUUUACCUAACUUAGUUAAUUAAUACAUGAUGUCAUCAUAAUUUUAUAGAGGUUCGAUAUAAGUCAUGGAUGAUCGUUCAUGGAUGUAUCAAGAUUCACCCCAAGGAUUGCGGAGGAUAGAUUAUUGUAACGGGGUUCAGGGUUUUAUUAAUUUCGCAACAUCUAUUCCCAGAAAUUUUACUGGAGGCGGUAUUAGGUGUCCAUGCAGGAAGUGUGAAAAUAAAAAGUAUCUGCAUCCAGAUGUUGUAAUGAUGCAUCUUCUACACAAAGGGUUUAUGGAGAAUUACUAGUGUUGGUAUGCACAUGGAGAAGUAUUUGGUAGUAAGAGGAGAAUUGAAGAAACGGUGGUUGGGUCUACUUCUAGUGCUAGCAACGUGCAUGAAGCGGCAAAUGACAACACUAAUCCUUACAGAAAUAUGGUUAUGGAUGCAAUGAGAAUGAAUCAAGGUAAUGGCAGUCAAUGUCCAAUCGUAGAAGAAGAACCUAAUGCAGAUGCAACUAGGUUUUUUGAUUUGUUGAAAGAUUAUGACGAACCAUUAUGGGAUGUCUGCACGAACCACAGUAAAUUAUCGGCCGUAGCACAAGUGUUCACCAUUUAGUCAGAUCACGGGUUGAGUGAGGCCGGGUAUGACAAGAUUAUUGAAUGGGCGAGAAGCAUUUUACCUGAAGGGAACAGGCUGAAAGAGAACUUCUAUGCUGCGAAGUCCAUGAUGAAACCCCUCGGUUUAGGAUACCAAAAAAUUGACAUGUGCCCUAACUUCUGCAUGUUAUACUACCUUGAAAAUGCUGAGAUGACUGAGUGCAUGACAUGCGGGCAUUCCCGUUACAAACCUAGAACUGGCAGGGAAAAGACUCUAGUGGCAUAUAAAAAACUUAGAUACUUCUCGAUCACACCUAGACUGCAAAGGUUAUUCAUGUCACCAAGGACUGUUGAGCACAUGACAUGGCACCAAGCACACCAUGCGGUUGAUGGAGUGAUGGUUCAUCCUUCUGACGGCGAAGCGUGGAAACGCUUUAACAGUGUUCAUCCUCACUUUUCAGCUGAAUCAAGGAAUGUGCGUCUUGGGUUGUGUACAGACGGAUUCAACCCAUUUGGGUCAUUUGCUGCUCCUUAUUCUUGUUGGCCGGUCAUACUCACAGUUUAUAACUUGCCACCGGGAAUGUGUAUGAGGUCGGAGUUCAUGUUUUUAUCUACUGUCAUACCCGGUCCAAGAAGCCCGGGGCGGAAUAUAGAUGUUUGUCUUCGACCGUUAAUUGAUGAGUUGGCGCAGUUGUGGUCCUCCGGAGCUCUGACUUAUGAUAUAUCGAGGAAACAAAAUUUCCUUAUGAGGGCGGCAUUGAUGUGGACUAUCAAUGAUUUUCUAGCUUAUGGAAUGCUUUCUGGUUGGAGCACGCAUGGGAAACUCGCAUGUCCAUACUGCAUGGAAAACAACAAGGCAUUCACGCUAGCAAAUGGAGGUAAAGCUUCUUUUUUUUACUGUCACCGUCGCUUCUUGCCACUUCAUCACAGGUACAGAAAGAACAGAAAAGAUUUCUUUGUUGGCAGAGUUGAAAAAGAUGUUGCAUCCCCGCGUCUUUCUGGUGAAGAAUUGCAUGAUGUUGUCUCAGAGUACGGUGACAUUGUGUUUGGCCUUCAAUCAGGUAAGCAAAAGUUUCCUGGUUUUGGUUUGACCCAUAAUUGGGUAAAGCGAAGUAUCUUUUUGGAGCUUCCUUAUUGGAAGACCAAUCUGCUCCGCCAUAACCUUGACGUCAUGCACAUCGAAAAGAACAUGUUUGAGAACAUUUUCAACACCGUCAUGGAUGUGAAGGGGAAGACAAAGGACAACAUCAAGGCUAGAUUGGAUAUAGCUUUAUACUGUAACUGUAAAAAUAUAGAGUUGGUUUAUGAUGAGUCACGGGUCGCAAAACCAAGAGCAAGCUUCGUGUUAGAGAAAAACGCACAACUGCUAGUCUACAAAUGGCUUAAGAGUCUGCGUUUUCCGGAUGGACAUGCAUCGAACAUAUCAAAGCUGGUUAAUAUAGAGGACUGCAGAUUGUAUGGAAUGAAGAGUCAUGACUGCCACGUGUUUAUGCAAACACUCAUCCCAUUAGUUUUUCGUGAUUUGUUGCCAAAGGGAAUAUGGGAUGCACUCACGGAGAUCAGUCAUUUCUUCAGAGAUAUAUGCUCCAGCAAGUUGAAUGUUGAUCACAUUGAGAGGCUUCAAACGAAUAUCGUCGAGACACUAUGCAAACUUGACAUGAUAUUCCCUCCAUCAUUUUUUGACUCAAUGGAGCAUCUCCCUAUACAUCUACCGUUCGAGGCAAAAGCUGGAGGACCGGUCCAAUAUAGAUGGAUGUACCCAUUCGAAUGGUUAGAUAUUACCGUUGCAAUGCAAUUCAUAUAUAAAAGUAUUUUAUAUAUUUUUCUUAAUUGAAAAUACUUGAUUAAUAUUUCAAUGCAUGUACUUAUUUAAUCUCAAGAAAAAGGUUAAGAACAAGGCGCAUGUUGAGGCUUCGAUAUGUGAGGCCUAUAUUGUUGAGGAGAUCUCAACAUUUAUCUCGUACUAUUUCGAACCUCAUCUGAGAACGAGAAUCAAUCGCGUUCCACGGCAUGAUGAUGGCGGUGAAGUGCCUUCCAGUGGGAACUUGUCAAUAUUCUUCAAUACUGGACGACCCACACCUAAAAAUGUCGUAAGAGGAAGAUAUUUGACAAAAAUAGAGUUCAAACAAGCACACAACUAUGUUUUAUUUAACUGUGAUGAGCUGAGACCUUUUAUUCAGUAAGUUUAUACUAAUUAAACUUUUUUAGUAAUAUACUGUUAAUUAUAUAUUGUAAUAUCAUACACUCAUUAUCACUUGCAGACAACAUCGUCAAUAUUUGCUCUCCAAUAACUCACAGCUGGCCGAAUCCCAGAUCUUUCAAUUACAAGGUGAGCAGUUUGCCACGUGGUUCAGAACACAUGUAAGCACUAUCACAAACUCAUUCUAACUUGCAAAAUUACUGUACGUAUGCAUGUCAUUACGAGAUUCUCGUGCAUUUACUGUUUAUUGAUGUACAUUACAUACAAGGUUUAUCAAAUGGGAAGGAGUGCACCUAAGUCAUUGUCUUCACUAAGCCUGGGGCCUGAAAGAAAAUGUAAGUGCUACAACGGGUAUUUUGUCAAUGGAUAUGUUUUCCAUACUGAAGAAUAUGGGCAAGGAAGAAAGACAUACAACAGCGGUGUUUGUGUUAAGGGAUCCACUAGUAGUGAGUUAGAAGUUGACUACUAUGGUAGAUUAGAAGAGGUCGUCGAACUGCAAUAUCAUAACGAGCAGAAUAUAGUGUUUUUAUUCAAAUGUUAUUGGUAUGACACGACUGACAGAGGAAUCAGAGUUGAUCCGCACUAUGGUCUGGUCGAAAUCAACUUAAAAGCUAGACUCCGCAACAUAAACGAUGUCUUUGUUUUCACAAAGCAAUGUCAACAAGUUUAUUACACAUACACCCCUUCAUUUAGAAAGGAUCGAUCAAGAGUGGAUUGGUUGUCCGUUUUAAAAACGAAACCCCGGGGUCGUGUCGAGUUUGUUCAGGAUGAGAACGAAGACACAAGUCUGCGAGAUGAAGUCUUUCAAGUUAGUGAGGUGGUUGAACCAUAUCGAGUUGCUCCUUCAAUUGAAUUGGAAGAAAAUUCAAAUUUUUGUGUUUUCGAUGAUAGUCUUGUUGAUGUUGACGCAGAGGAGUUGAAUUUUGUUUUGAGCUCUAGCAGACAAGCAAAUGUCGAUGAAGAAGAUGAUAUUCAUAUUGAAGAUUGCGAUGAAGGUGAUGACAAUUCAAUUGAUGACGAAGAAGAAGAAAAUUCUGACUAACUACCAAAAUGAAGCCCUAUGUAAAACCCUUUUUUUCAUGUAAUUUAGAUUAUGGAUGAUAUAUUUUGAAACACAAAAUAUUUAUUACUUGAAAUAAUUAGUUGAAAUGCCACAAUUACGAAAUAAUUACUUGAAAUAAUUAUUGAUCAUGGAUGAUAUAUUUUGUGAUUCGAAAAUAAUUACUGGAAAUGCCACCAGGGCACCGACGGCCUUAAGUCCGUCGGCAUUUCACAGAGAGUUCGAAAAUAAUUACUGGAAAUGCCACCAGGUCACCGACGGCCACACCGACGGCCUUAAGUCCGUCGGCAUUUCAUAGAGAGUUCGAAAAUAAUUACUGGAAAUGCCACCAAGGCACCGACGGCCUUAAGUCUGUCGGCAUUUCACAGAGUUCGAAAAUAAUUACUGGAAAUGCCACCAGGUGACCGACGGCCUUAAGUCCGUCGGUACGUUGUCAAUUGUACCGACAAAAUUCCCGACGGACCGCGCGAAUAUCAAAGGGUUGUGCAUUAAAUGCAUCUAUGACCGCGUCAGUUUACCGACGGACUGCGAAAAAUAUGGAGGGCAACUAAAAAUUUUGGUGCGAAAUUCAAAAUUUACCGACGGAUUUUUAACACCUCACCGACGAAAUAAAUUAAAAUAAUAAUUAAUUUUAUAUCCGUCGGUAAAAUUGGCUUUUAACCUCCCCCGACCGCCUCUCCAGUUCAUUUUCUCUUCUCCUUAGUUUUUCACCAUUCUUUUCCUCUCCGUUCUUCAGGCGAUCUCAAGCUUUUUUUAUCGUGAAUCUCCAUCAGUUUAAAAGGUUAGUGUUUCCUCUAUUUCAUUUUACUUUAAUGGUUUUUUUUUGUUAUUUUUUUUGUUUUGGUAUAUUUUUUGUAAUGUAGAUAAAGUCUAUAGUUUUUUUUGCAUAAUUCAUUGCUAAAGUCUAUAGUUUUUUUUUAAUUUAUUGAAUAUUUUUUAUUGUUGUAUUGGCAUAAUUAUUAUUAGUUAAUUUGUUGAAUAUUUAUUGUUAAUGUUGAAUUUACCAUAGAAUUAGUAAUUGAAUAUGUUGGAAUAAUUAUUAAUUUUACUUUAUUAUUGCAUGAUUUGUGUUUAAUUUUUUCCAUUUAUUUUGAUUGUUAUUCUAGAGUUUUUUUUUAUUUAUUGUUUUGUUGUAUUGGCAUAAUUAUUGAAUAAUUUGUUGAAUUGUAAUUCUUAAUGUUGAAUUUACUUUAGAAUUAGUAAUUGAAUAUGUUGGAAUAAUUAUUAGUUUUACUCUAUUAUUGCAUGCUUUGUGUUUAAUUUUUUCCAUUUAUUUUGAUUGUUAUUCUAAAGUUUUUUUUAAUUUAUUGUUUUGUUGUAUUGGCAUAAUUAUUGAAUAAUUACUUGAAUUGUAAUUCUUAAUGUUGAAUUUACCUUAGGAUUAGUAAUUGAAUAUGUUGGAAUAAUUAGUAUAGAUUGGGUAAAUUGGUUGUGGCUAUUGUUAAUAUGUGCAGGCUUGUGGAUUUGGGUAGUAUCCGGUAUAGGGGAGGUGCUGUCGAAUUUUUUUUUUACAUUUGAAUUUAAUUAUAUAAUUAUUUGUAUCAAAUUGUGUAGAUGCGUAGAACGAAAACCAGAGCUGGUCGCUCAAGUACGGUCGCAGCUAGUUCGUCUAGCAGCGAUGAUGAUAUUUCCUUAGGUGCCUCUCAAGAAGAGGCACCUACACCACCUGCGCUGUCAACCGAUGCUACCUCUUCCAGCGGUACUUCACAGUGCAAAGGCGGCGUGCCUUCGCAGCGGAAUCAAUUUACCUGCAAGUACGAGGCACAGUGGAAGGACGACCUUUCAAUGUAAGUUUGUUAAGGUUUUAGUUUUUUAAAAAAAAUUACAACAUAAUUUAUGAAGUAAUCACUAUUGAAUUUAUUUCCUUUAUUUUUAGGUUCACAAACAUUGAAGCCGCCCGAGUAAUAUCAUCGGCGUUUAAAUCGUCGAUGGAGAUUCUAUUGUUUUAAUGCAGUCAGAUAUCCAAGCAACCUGAAUGGAUGCCUCAAAUCAAUGCAUGGUUUAACAGGUUUGAGGUUGGUAUUAAUUUAUAAUUUUCAGCUUAUUAAUAUAAUUGUAAAUAAAUUAUUAUUUUUAUUUAAGCUUGUUUAUUUAUACACAGCACAAAUUCUGCUGGGACAGUGAGCAUAACACUGUUGUGAGGAGGGUGUGGGAAAAUCACGCGGCAACUAGGUAAGAUCGAAAACAAUACAGGAUUUUUUUUAGACAAAAAUUUAUGUUUCGAAAUGUAAUUUUUGGUUGCGUGAAGUAGGUUGCGUGAUUUUUGGUAUGAAGCACAAAAAAAGGCAAAAAAAACUGCGAGGGAUAGGGGAUUCCAAGGCUGGAACGAUGUUGCGGUUUGGAGGGAUUUCAAACCGAUAUACAUCCCGGAAGAUAUAUGGCCGCACUAUCUUGAGCACGUGACGUCUGAGCGGUUCACACGACGCUCACAGUCCGGUGCUGGCAACCGGAAUCGGCCAAUUCAUGGCGGGGUGACAACGCACACUGGCGGCUCCGUUCCGUUUGCUGCACAUGCGAAAUGGAUGGUAAGAUUAAUUUAAAUGAAAUAUAUCAUUAAAUUCAGUUGUUGUUAAUAUAUCUUUUUUCAUUAUAGGCUGCGUCUCUUGGACGUGAGCCGAGCCCGAUGGAGCUGUUUGUGGAGACGCACGUGCGGAGUCAAGACCACCAGAAGGGGGCGCAACAGUUCGUUGAUAACCGUGCUCAGCAUUUCGUGGUAAGUUUGUUCAACCAUUUUAUUUUGUAAGUUAUUAUGUUUAUUGUAUUGAAUAUGAUGAUAACUUUUUUUUUAUUUUCAGGAGACCUAUAAUAAUCGGUUGAGGGAGAGAUACGGGGACAAUAUUUUGACCCAUUCGGAAUUCGAUCCGGAUUUGUGGAUGGAGGUUGGCUCGUCAGGUGGACCCGAUAAAAAUCGGGUUUACGGGCUCUCCAACACUACGGCCGACAACUUGCGGUCGACCCGUAGUGUUUCAACCGUUGGGAGCUCCCAAUCAAUAUCGAGCUCCCAAUCUAAGGAGUUCGUGGCCUUGCAGCAACACACGGCUCAGCUCACCGAGAAAUACGAUCACCUAAAAGCGGAGUACGCACAACUCAAAGCGUCUCAUGCACAACAAAGAGCGGAACAAAGAGCGGAGUCUAAGCAACUUAAAGCGUCUCAAGCACAACAAAAAGCGGAGUAUGAAGCGGCUCAUGAACAACAAAAAGCGGCUUAUGAACAGCUUCGCGAAAUGCUAAUGAACAUGACAAAUAGUGGAACAUGUGCGCCUAAUCUUUUUUGGCCGUAUAACCACCAGCCUCCUCUAGGAUCUCCUCCUCCUCCUCCAGCUCCACCUUUAUAUUAAUUUGUAAUCAACAUUAUUUACCUUUAAAACUUCAUUUAAUAUUUUUCUUGAAACAUAUUCAGUUUGUAAUGAAUAUUAUUUAACUUUGUUUUUUUUUAUGUUUAAUAUAAAUUUUAUUUGCAUAAUUGGUUUGUAUUACAAUUAAUUUAAAUAGUUUUAUAUUAUAUAUCCUAAAUAAUUUUUUAAAAACAAAUUAAGAAAAAAACUAUUACCAAGGAUUUUACCGACGGAUUAAUUCGGUCGGUAUUUUAAACACUCACCGACAGAAUUAAUCCGUCAGAAUUUAACAAUAGCUUCCACCAGUACCGACGAAUUUACAGACUGAAAUAUUCGGUCGGUAUUUCAUGCACUCACCGACGUAUUUACCGACGGAAUAAAAAUCCGUCAGUAUAUUUCAAGCGGGAAUCUUUUUUUUUUGGCGCGCAAAUUCCGUCUGUAAAACCAUCGGCAAAUGGUUUUUUUGUUUUUCCGACCGAUAUAGAGACGGAAGGGGGAAUCACCGACGAAGGUAAAGCCGACAGACGUAAUCCGUCGGUGAGGACGUCGGUAAAAAAAUUACCGAUGAAAUUCUAAUCACACACCGACGGAAUUGGUCCGUCGGUAAAACUGUGAAAUCUUGUAGUGUAUGUUUAUUCUCUCUCUCAAUGGUGCCAUGAUUUACCUGCUUGUGUAUGUUGAUAAUAUUUUAUAAACCGGGAGUAACUCAGUUGUGCUUUAUAGAUUGAUUAUGUUGCUGCAAUCAGAAUUUAAGCUUCAGGAUUUGGGUUUUGUUCAUUUCUUCUUGGGCAUUGAAGUUAAAUCUAGUGCUAUGGGUAUCUUAUUAAGCCAACACAAGUAUGCCCUCGAUAUCAUCCAACGAGCAGGUAUGGCUUCGUACUCUGUCUGCCUCCUCCAAAUUAGGACAUGUGCCUGGUACUCUUUACUCUGAUCCCACACGGUAUCGCCAGAUUGUUGGGGCAUUACAAUAUCUUACCUUCACUAGACCUGAUAUCUGCUAUGCAGUCAACAAGGUAUGUCCAGCAACCUAUGGUCUGUUGUUAAACGUAUCAUGUGUUACCUCCAGGCUACAGCAACCUAUGGUCUGCACAUCACUCGAGAUUCUCUCUUGUCUCUUCAUGGUUUCACAGAUGCUGAUUGGGCUGGCAGUAUUGACGAUCACAAAUCCACAGGUGGUUACCUUGUGUACCUUGGCUCUACCCCUAUUUCAUGGAAAUCCAGGAAACAACGCACUGUUGUGAGAUCUUCUACUGAAGCAAAAUACAAAGCGUUAGCUGAUGGUACUGCUGAGAUUUUGUGGAUUCACUCAUUAUUGUCAGAACUUCGGGUCCCUUCUUCAAUUGUGACCAUGUUAUGGUGUGAUAAUUUAGGGGUCACUUUCUUAUCUGCCAAUCCAGUGUUUCACGCUUGUACUAAACAUGUUGAAAUUGAUUAUCACUUUACCCGUGAUCGGGUUACUAAGCGAGAAAUUCAGGUACGGUUCAUCUCUUCCAAGGAUCAACUAGUUGAUGUCCUUACCAAGCCUUUUCCUCCAGUCUCAUUUGCUUACUUUCGAUCCAAGCUUCUGGUAGAAUCUCCACCUUUAGCUUGACGAGGUGUAUUAAGGAAAGAGACCCUAUAUAUAUAAAUACUCUUAUAUAGGAAUAGUUAUCACAUGUAAUACAUUCCAUCAUUAUAUUAUACACAACCCUAAAGGUAUAAAUACAAAGGAUGGUUGCUCUCCUUGUGCACUACCACAAUUAAUACAAAAACUAUCUCUCAAUUAACUCAAUUAUCCCAAUGAUAAAAACAAAAAUUGAUCGAUUUCUAAGUCUAUGAUUCAAACCCACCCCCACCCCCCUAUAUAUAAACAUGUGGUUUUACAUUCUAUCUUUUCGAAAAUCAGAUUCAAGAUUAUUGCCAAACACUGUAUAAGGUUCAAUCUUAUUUAUAAUUCCACUCAAUCAAAAGUUUUGAUCAUGGCCAUCUAUAAGCUAACUUUUCUUAACAGGGUUCCACAUUUUACAUGCAUUUGAUUGUGACUGCUUUUUUGCCCUUAUAAGAUUACAUUUCAAACAGGGAAGCUAGCCGCCUACGUUCAAAUUUUCAUGAACCACUGAAUAUUGAUACUCUCUCUCUCUCUCUCUCUCUCUCUCUCUCUCUCUCUCUCUCUCUCUCUCUCUCUCUAUAUAUAUAUAUAUAUAUAUAUAUAUAUAUAUAUAUCUCAAAUGCUCACUGUUUUGAAAAUUUAGAAAUAAUUCAAAACACAAUUGUGUUCUUGUUUUUACGAAGAGAUUUUACUCGUAUGUUUUUGUUUCCAUACUUAUUUCCUCUUCUCUCUCCCUCUCUAUGAUUUAUUAUUUUUCUUUUAAAACACAAUUAAAAAACUUUCGAUACUUUAUUUUUUUUCAAAAUAAAAAAUUCAUUUUCUCUAUUUUUCAUAUAUAUGCUGUCUAUAUAAUUAGAUCAAUGCUUUAACAAUUUAAUAUAAGUAUUCCCUAGAUUUCCGAAUAUAGAAGAAUAUAUUUCAAAUUGAAAAUCUUUUAUAUCCUUAAGUAGAAAAACUUAAUCGACUAAAAAUACAAUCCUAAUAUACCGAAUAUUCUAAUAAGUCUCUUUUCUAUUUAAAUAAAAUUAAUUUUUUUUUGAGAAAAUCUUAACGAUUAAAUUUCCCAGUUUAAAUGUUUUUAAUUUCUUAAUUUCAUAAAAACUUUUUCAAAAUUUUGAAAUUUCCUUAAUUGCCUUGGCUUGGAUUUAAAAUGGCAGACAAAAUUUAAAUUAUUCCGAAUUGAGUGUUGGAUUUCCAGCAAAAAUUAAUUGACAAGUAAAAAUAUAUGGUAAAUUACAACGGCGAGUAGACAGUUUGAGAUUAUGAAUGGGUUGCAAAGAAUUGUGUUGAAAUGGCACGAUUUUAAUUAUGAAACAUGUGUAAUCUCUAACUUCUUAAAUGGAUACAUCCAUCUAUAUUGGACUGAGCUUCCAAUUUUUGUCUCAAACAGUAAAUGUAUGGGUAGAUGCUCCAUUGAAUUGAAAAACAAUUGAGGGAAUAUCAUCUCAAGUUUGUAUAUUGUCUGGAUGAUAUUCAUUUAGUUGAGAAUAACAUAAUGACUUAGGUUAGCCUUAGCCAACCUUUCCUGUUUAUAUAUGUGUGGCAAAACACGGCAGUAACCGUAAUGAUUUCAAUAUUGGAAUAAUCCUACAUUAAUUUCCUAUUCAGAGAUAUACAUGAUAUACAUUCUAUAAUAUGCCCCCUCAAGCUGAGGGUGGAGGAUCGACCCGAAGCUUGAACCUGAAAGCAAUAAAGGAUGCAGCGGAAAGUGGUUUGGUGAAGACAUCAGCAAGUUGAUCCCGAGAAGGGAUAAAGCAAAUCUGAAUUUCUUUAUUUGCAACCCGGUCGUGGACAAAGUGAUAAUCGACCUCAACAUGCUUAGUACGAGCAUGGAAAAUAGGAUUCGCUGAGAGAUAGGUCGCGCCAAGAUUAUCACACAAAAUGGUGGAGCAGAGACGGAGGGAACCUACAGAUCUGUUAACAAAUAUUGAAGCCAGAUGACCUCAACAGUACCUUCUACUAAGGCUUUGUACUUAGCCUCAGUGAAGGAGCGGGCAACUGUACGUUGCUUGCUGGAUUUCCAUGAAAUCGGUGUUUGACCAAAGAAAACAAGAUAGCCACCCGUAGACUUACGAUCAUCAAUACUACCAGCCCAAUCUGCAUCUGUAAAACCAUGUAGAGCAAAAGAGGUACCUCAAGUGAUAUGAAAACCAUAGGAUGUCGUACCUUUAAGGUAGCGGAGAAUGCGUUUAACAGUAGCCCAAUGGGAAUUUGUAGGAGCAUGCAUGAACUGACAAACUCUGUUAACAGCAAAGCAGAUAUCUGGGCGAGUGAAGGUAAGAUACUGAAGAGCACCCACGAUUUGACGAAAUCAUCUAGGAUCAAAGAAUGGGUGAUCCGGGUGUAUAGCAAUUUUUGAAGGAGAGACUGAAGUAUCAACGGGUUUGCAAGAAGUCAUACCAGCCCGAGUGAGGAUGUCAAGAAUAUAUUUGUGUUGGCGCAACAUCAGACCCAUACUCGUAGACUGAACUUUAAGACCCAGAAAUUAGUGAACAACACCUAAGUCACGAAGCUUGAACUCAGAGCUUAGUAACUGUAUUAGACGAUGAAGCAUGGGAGAGUUGCUACCCGUAAGCAGAAUAUCAUCAACAUAUACCAGGAGAUAAAAGAUAUUAGUACCAUCAGAUAAGAUAAACAGGAAGGUGUAAACCUUGGAGGCAAGAAAACCAAUGGAGAGCAAAAAAUCACUCAAACGAGUGUACCAUGCCGUUGGUGCUUGUUUUAAACCAUACAAUAACUUGUGCAAUCUGCACACAUGAGAUGGAAGAGUAGGGUCAACAAAACCUCGAGGUUGCUUCAUGUAGACCUCUUCCGUAAGAACACCAUUGAGAAAUGCAUUAUGAAUAUCGAGCUAAUGAAUCUUCCAAUUACAUGAAACCGCAAUGGAAAAGACUAAUAUGAUGGUGGCCUGCUUAAUAACUAGGCUGAAAGUUUCAGAAUAAUCAAUGUCUUCCUGCUGGGUAAAGCCUCUAGCAACUAGACGGGCUUUAUAAUGUUCAAUACUGCCAUCAACACGAUGUUUGAUCCGAUACACCCAUCGACUGCCAACAAUAUUCAUUGAAGGAUGAAAGGGUACUAGAGAUCACGUGUGAUUGGCACGCAAUGCCUUGAUCUCAUCACACAUAGCAUCAUGCCAAACAACAUAUUUAUCUGCAUCAGAGAAGGCAAGAGGUUCAGAGGAAGGAGAGAGCAAUACCCGAGUGGAAGCUGUAUCAGCUGCAGUAAAGGCCACCAGAUUUGUUGUCUUUGGCUGCCGCGGCCGAAGGACCAUAAGGUGGCGGCUGAGCAAGGGUGGUGACAUUGGAGAACAUGGUGUCAAGGAGGUGUCCUGCUGCAGCGGAUAAGAGGAGAGAUCAACCACCAGAUUCAGACCAGGUGAAGAAGUCGUGGGAGAAGCUGGCAACAACAACGGGGCUGGCAGCUGAGGCAGAUUCUACAGUAGCCUGGUGACUGGCAGAAUAAGGGGAAAUAGAGGAGGAACCAGAGGGCGUCCCAGCACAAGUAAAGGCAUCUUGCUGGAGUGUAGGGAAUACUGAUCGGCAACCUAUACCUGUAACAGAAUGGUUAGAUAAACAUGCAUGUGGUGAUGGGUAAGGGAAAGGUGGAGGCUGUGGUGUUUUGGUAGGGGGUGGCGGCAGGGUAGAGGCAGAGGAGGGAUGGUGAGGUGCGGUAUGGAUAGUGAACAAUGGGGAGUGGGUCAGAUUUGGGAGGAUGGUAGCAGCAGGUUGUGUGGGGUUUGGAGCCGAAACCCUUGCAAUCUGUUUAGAAUUAUCAAACGGAAACACAUGUUCAUGAAAACAAACAUGACAGGAGAUAUACAUGCGAUGAGAUUCAAUGUCUAAACAUCGAUAACCAAGGUAUGAGGAACUAUAGCAAAAAAACACACAUGGAGAAGAACGAAAAUUCAAUUUAUGAUUAUUUUAGGGACGCAAAAAAGAAAAGUAGAGACAUCCAAAAGUACACAAAAAAAAGAUAAUCAGGAGACCGUUGAAACAAUAGGAAUCUGUAGGAGCAUGCAUGAACUGACAAACUCUGUUAACAGCAAAGCAGAUAUCUGGGCGAGUGAAGGUAAGAUACUGAAGAGCACCCACGAUUUGACAAAAUCAUGUGGGAUCAGAGAAUGGGUGAUCCGGCUGUAUAGCAAUUUUUGAAAAAGAGACUGAAGUAUCAACGGGUUUGCAAUAAGUCAUACCAGCCCGAGUGAGGAUGUCAAGAAUAUAUUUGUGUUGGCGCAACAUCAGACCCAUACCCGUAGACUGAACUUCAAUACCCAGAAAGUAGUGAACAACACCUAAGUCACGAAGCUUGAACUCAGAGCUUAGUAACUGUAUUAAACAAUGAAGCAUGGGAGAGUUGCUACCCGUAAGCAGAAUAUCAUCAACAUAUACCAGGAGAUAAAAGAUAUUAGUACCAUCAGAUAAGAUAAACAGGGAGGUGUCAACCUUGGAGGCAAGAAAACCAAUGGAGAGUAAAAAAUCACUUAGACGAGUGUACCAUACCCUUGGUGCCUGUUUUAAACCAUACAAUGACUUGUGCAAUCUGCACACAUGAGAUGGAAGAGUAGGGUCAACAAAACCUAAAGGUUGCUUCAUGUAGACCUCUUCAAUAAGAACACCAUUGAGAAAUGCAUUAUGAAUAUCGAACUGAUGAAUCUUCCAAUUACGUGAAACCGCAAUGGAAAAGACUAAUAUCAUGGUGGCCUGCUUAAUAACUGGGCUGAAAGUUUCAGAAUAAUCAAUGCCUUCCUGCUGGGUAAAGCCUCUAGCAACUAGACAGGCUUUAUAACGUUCAAUGUUGCCAUCAACACGACAUUUGAUCUGAUACACCCAUCGACUGCCAACAACAUUCAUCGAAGGAUGAAAGGGUACUAGAGACCACAUGUGAUUGGAAUGCAAUGUCUUGAUCUCAUCACACAUAGCAUCAUGCCAAGCAAUAUAUUUAUCUGCAUCAGAGAAGGCAAGAGGUUCAGAGGAAGGAGAGAGCAAUACCCGUGUGGAAGCUGUAUCAACGACAGUAGAGGCCACCAGAUUUGUUGUCUUUGGUUGCCGGGGCCGAAGGACCAUAGGGUGGUGGCUGAGCAAGGGUGGUGACGUAGGAGAAGAUGGUGUCAAGGAGGUGUCCUGCUGCAGCGGAUAAGAGGAGAGAUCAACCACCAGAUUCAGACCAGGUGAAGAAGUUGUGGGAGAAGCUGUCGCAAGCAGAGGGCUGGCAGCAACAACGGGGCUGGCAGCUGAGGCAGAUUUUGCAGUAGCCUGGUGACUGGCAGAAUAAGGGGAAACAGAGGAGGAACCAAAGGGCGUCCCAGCACCAGUAGAGGCAUCUUGCUGGAGUGUAGGGAAUACUAAUCGGCAACCUGUACCUGCAGCAGAAUGGUUAGAUAAACAUGCAUGUGGUGAUGGGCAAGGGAAAGGUGGAGGCUGUGGCGUUUUGGUAGGGGGUGGCUGCAGGGUAGAGGCAGAGGAGGGAUGGUGAGGUGCGGUAUGGACAGUGAACAAUAGGGAGUGGGUCAGAUUUGGGAGGAUGGUAGCAGCAAGUUAUGUGGGGUUUGGAGCUGAAACCCUUGCAAUUUGUUCAGAAUUACCAAACGAAAAAACAUGUUCAUGAAAACAAACAUGACAGGAGAUAUACAUGCGAUGAGAUUCAAUGUCUAAACAUCGAUAACCAAGGUAUAAGGACCUUUAGCCAAAAAACACACAUGGAGAAGAACGAAAAUCCAAUUUAUGAUUAAUAUAGGUGUUGUAACCCAUUUUUGGGUCCCCGUAUAAAAAAGAAGAAAAUACAAAAAAAUCAAAAAAUAUAUGUUCGAAAAAAAUAAAAAUAAAUAAUAACAGUGAGAAUAGGACGCCAGAACACUCAGAAAAUGGCCAAAAAUUGGUAUAGAGGGUUGACUGAUGAUAGCCCUGUUGACUGAUGAUAGCUCUGUUGAUGAAGAAAAUUUAAUUUGAGGAAGAAAAGUCCAAAAUCAUAUGUUUAUGGACUCAAUUAAAUUUUAUUGAAGAUUUAAUUGAAUUUAUGGAGGGUUUGAUUGCAAGAAAAAUUGAUUUUGGAGUUAAUUUGGGCUUUAAUUGGAAGAAAUUAAAGUUCUGGGGUCAAAUUAUAAUUUUUGAGAGUUAAUUUGGUCAAAUCAGGGGCUUAAUUGCAUAAAUAUUAAAGUUUGAUGGCCAAUUAGGGACUUAAUUGAAGAAAUCUGAAACCAAGAACCAAACUGGAAAAGGCGCGUAAAUAGAGGGACUAUAAUUAAAACCGGAUCAGGGGCCAAAUUGAAGAAAUUAGAAGUUUAUUGCUCAAUUGAGGGUCAAAUUGCACUAAUUCAAGACCAAGGACCAAUUUGGAAAAGGCCGCCAACUUUAGGGCCGCUGUUUGAUUUUUGGCAAGGAUGCAAUUGCAUUGUUUUUUUUAUCAAAAUUGCAAUUAAGGACUCGAUUGAACAAAUCACAAAUUAAGGACCAAUGUGAACUCUGACACGUUUUUUGCCACCUUUUCAUUUAAAUGAAACGGCGCGUUUUGUCCAAAACGGCGUCGUUUCAUGCACUGUUUACAUUAAAAAAAAAAAACAAGAGCCCAAAACGGUGCCAUUUUGAACGGCACUGUAACCUUUCUUCUUCCCCCGGAUGUGCGAAACAGGGGAAGAAGAAGAUCUUUUCUUCCUCUGUUUUCACCGCCUUCCCUUCCCCCGAUAACCCAAAAAGACGCCGACCAGAGACCCUCCACCUGCACAGCUUUCCACGUGUUAGAGUUAGGGGAGGAGAGGUGUCCCUAGGGUGGUAGAGGGGCGGUUGAACAGUGGUCGCCCCGUCCACCCUACACCCCUGCGCCAUUGACUAGGCAGGGGUGUAGGUCUCCUUUUCUCCCCUAUAAAUACAGGGGAGAAAUGAGACACAUAAAAAAGAAAGGGGGAGGAAAAAGAAUGAAAAACCAAGAGAGAGAAAGAGAAAAAAAUAGAGAAAGAAGAGAAGGAAAACAGAUAAACAGGAAAGAAAAAAAACGAGAGAGAAAAAGAGAAGACGAGGGGAGAAGGGAGAGCACAGAAAGAAAAGAAAAAAAAAAGAAGAAGAGGGAAAAUGGUUUGAAGACCGAAUAAAAAAGAAGAGAAAAAACAAAGGAGGGAGAGGAAGAAGAAGGAGCAGCUCCGCCGGCCACCGCAGUCCCUCCACCGCGACAACAGCACCGCCCCCGCCCCAAGUAACCUCCUGCUGCCCCAUUUUGUUUCCUCUUGCUCAGCCCCUGCCUGCAUUUGCAUGCAGAACGUGAAUAAUUCACGUUCUGCAGCAAAUGGUGAAAGGGUUGGUUACUGUGUUGGUGCACAGUAACCAGCCCAUUUGGUUUUGGGCCGGGUCAGGCCCAGCCCACUGAUCUGGACCAAGUCCGGCCCAUUUCAAAAAAAAAAGAACAAAUAUUUUUCAAUAUUUGUGAUUUUCCGCGUGUAUUGUUUUAUGUUGUUUUGUUUAAUCUCGGUCUGUUUCCUGUCAAUUUGAAAAAAGACGAAUACAGUAUUAAAAUACCCGGUUUUUGUCAAAACUUCCAAAAAUACAAAAAAAAUUGAAAAAAGCAAAAAUGUUUCUGUGCAUACGGCCAAGUGUUUCAAAGCUAAAAAAUCAUAUUGUGUUUGUCAUACACCAGCAAAAAAUGUCUUAGCAUGCAUUUUGGCUUUAAUAAUCAGUUUAUUAAAGUCAAGAAAACAUUGGCCAAAAUUUCAAAAACAACAAAAAUUUUAUUUUGUUUAUCUUUUAGUAUCCGGGGUACGACAUUACACGUAAUACGUAUUCUGGAUAUUAAAUUUUGUUUAUCGGGCGUAGAACAGUUAGGUUUUACUCCAUUAUGAUAAGAACCUCCUUAUUAAGGAGGGCUUUUCUUGAACCUUAAACAGACCAACAAUUAGAAAACACAAUAAGACCGUAGUUUUUUAUCAGACAUUAAAAUAAUGCAGUCUACCUUAGGUAGGGCGUAGUUGGGAUGCUAAUACCUUCCCUUUACGCAAUCAGUCUCCGUACUCGAUCUCUAAGACCAGUUAGGGUUUCUAGUAACCAUGCGAUUUAUGAGAUAGGCCAAAGUGUCGAAAGCAUAAUUCCAAAACCAGAAUGGGGCUUUACAUUGUCCUAGAAGAGUAAGGCUGGUUUCCACAAUAUGCCUAUGACGUCUUUCUACUGUGCCAUUUUGUUCAUGAGUGUGAGGACAGAUCCGACGAUGAUGAAUACCAAUGGUCUGAAAGAAAGUGGAGAGUUUGCGAUAUUCACCGCCCCAAUCAGUUUGAACAGAUUUUAUUUUAAUGAAAAUUGACGCUCAACAAGAGUUUGAAAUUGGUGAAAAACAAAGUAAACAUCAAAUUUGGCAACAAGUGGAUAAUACCAUUUAUAUUUUGUGUGCGCAUCAACAAAGAUAACAAAAUAAGGAUAGCCAUCCAAAGAAAAAAGGAGAGCAGGACCCCAUACAUCACUAAAAAUUAAUUCAAGCGAAGCAAAAGUUUUGUGACCAGUAGGUCCUAAAGACAGACACGAUGAUUUUCCUAAUGGACAACUUUGAGAUUGAAAAUUAAGACGUUUGUUGUUACAACUAAUCUUAUUUUUUGAGACUAAAAAUUGAAAAAUACAAGAGGUAGGAUGACCUAGUCGACGAUGCCAUAAAUCAGCAUAAGCAGAAAUGCAGGGAGACCAAUAGGCUUGAGGAACUGACGGGACGGAAGACCUGAACCUGGACAAAGUAUAGAGACCAUAUUUACUCUGUCCUGAAAGGUACUUCAUUGGUGUUGAGAUCAUUGACAUAAAACAGAAAAGGGUGAAAUUCAAAAUAAACAUUAUUAUCGAGACAAAAUUUCUGAACAGAAAGCAAAGAUUUCGUGAUUGCAGGAACAUGAAGGACAUUAGACAAAGUGAAAGAAUGAUGUGGGGUAUAUAGUUUGGUAUGACCGAUAUGAGAUAUGGAAAGUCUCUUAACAUCACCAACAUGCAAAUUAUCAUUAUCAAGGUAUGGUUCUGAAGCAGUCAAGGUUGCAAGGUCAGGUGUGACGUGUUGCUUUGCACCGGUGUCCGGAAACCAUUCAAUAGUACCUGUAGGAUUGUGCAGCGCUAGAUUGGCACUAUGAUGUUGGCCAUAGCCUUGUUGCUGAAGUUGAGGGCAGUGAGGAGCAGUAUGGCCAAAUGCUUGGCACAACUGGCAGUGUGGAUUGGACCCCCUACUGCGCUGCCAAUUGCCCUGCCAGUUGCCUUAUCUGAUGUCAUUGCUAGAGGUGUUGUGGAAGCUACGAAAGUCGGGCCUGGAACCAGAAGUUCUAUGCCCUUUGUGAUUGAAUUGGUGAGAACGCCAGCUGCCAUUAAAAUGCCCCUUAUUUUGACCAAACUGUGCAGCAGACUGACAUUGAGAGAUAAGUAUUGAAGGAGGUAUGUUCGGCGUGGGCAACAGAGGUGCAAGAAUUACAGCAGACCCCAUGGACAAAUGGGAGGAUUUGUGAAUAAAUUCAUGUGUUAGCAGAUGACUAAGUAAAUCUGCAUAUAGUAGAGGAUCUGCCCUUGUAACAAGACUUGUUACUAAGUCCUUAAAUUCUCCGCGAAGGCCACGAAACACAUAUAAGUUGAAAUCCUCUAGCGAAAUAGGUUGGCCAGCAGCGGCUAGCUCAUCAAAUAAGGCCUUAGCUUUUUGCAUAAAUUGAGUUACCGAUUCAUCACCUUGUUGAAGGUCUUGAAGAGAGCCAUGAAGUUGCAUAAUACAGGAAUUCGAUGUGGAAGCUAGAGCUUGCUCAAAUGUGUGCUAGACAAAGCAUGAGGUUUGACAAUCAAGAACAAGAUGAAGAACUUCCAUAAAUAGCGAAGAGAGCUGGGCACUUAGAAUGAGUUGGUCAUGUUGUUUCCAACAAAGAAAGAGUUGAGAUACCUGAAGAGAGACACCAUCGGCAGCAAGAACAUGUGGAGAGGGGCAGGAGUUUGAACCAUUAACAAAGCCGAAAACUCCUUGGCCUAGAAGAUACGACUUCAUCUGCAUUUGCCAAUACAGAUAAUUGGUGUUUGUCAAUUUUAAGGAGAUGACUUGGUGAGUGUGGGAGAGGGACACAAUUGCAGCAGCAGAGGCGGUAGAGACUUCAGCAAAAGAGGGCUGCAGUAGAGGAGCAUUAUUGGGGUUGAAGAGAGCAUGGCCAACAUUUGUGGGCUGUGGCCACUGCAGAACAGAAGCUGAGGAAGAAGGUGGUGUUGCGGCAGCGAAGGAAGAUGGCACUACCGGUGCUGCAGAGGGAGAGAUAGCUGUUGGCUGGGAGGAAUCCAUUGUAGAGAGGAGAGGAAGUGUUUUAGUUUAUCUAGGGCUCUGAUACUAAGUUGAGAAUAACAGAAUGACUUGGGUUAGCCUUAGCCAACCUUUCCUAUUGAUAUAUAUAUAUAUAUAUGGCAGAACACGGCAGUAACCGUAGGGAUUACAAUAUUGGAAUAAUCCUACAUUAAUUUCCUAUUCAGAGAUAUACAUGUUAUACAUUCUAUAAUACAUUUCAAUCCUCUCUAUGUGUUAUGUCUGCAAACUAUUGGAGCAUAUAUCUCUAAAGAAGUAACUAAUCUAUGUGAGUGCAUCUCAUAUCCCAUUUGGUAAUACAUCCCGGUAGACUAAUGGAAUGAGUGUUUGCAUAAACACAUGGCAGUUAUGACUCUUCAUUUCAUGCAAUCUGCAAUCCUCUAAAUUCACCAACCUUGAUAUGUUCGAGGCAUGUCCAUCAGGAAAACACAUACUUUUAAGUCAUUGGCAGAUAAGCAACUGUGCAUUCUUGUGUAAGGUGGAGUUGGCUUUGGGCUUUGUGACCUAUGAACCAACAUAAACCAACUCCAUAUUUUUACGGUGACAAAAAAAAAAGUUAUAUCCAUUCUAGCAUUGAUGUUGUCAUUUGUCUUUCCCUUCACGUCCAUAACCAUGUUGAAAAUGUUCUCAAACACGUUCUUUUCUAUGUGCACAACAUCAAGGUUAUGAUGGAGGAGAUUGGUCUUCCAAUAAGGAAACUCUCAUAAAAUACUUCGCUUUACCCAAUUGUGGGUCAAACCAAAACCAGGAAAUUUUUACUUACCAGAAUGAAAAUCAAACAUAGUGUCACCAUACUCCAAUAUCAUGUCAUACAAUUCUUCACUUGAAAGAAGUGUUUGUGCAACUCCGAUACCAUUUUAUAGGAAUUCAUAAACUUAUCGGAUAUCUGUGAGAGAGUACAUGGGAAUUUUACUUAGAUUUUCAAAAAAAUAUUAUUAAUAAAAAAAUAUGAUUAUAAUUCUUAUAUUACUUAAUAAAAUCUUUUAAUACUUGUGUGAACGUAACUAAAUUUAAAUAAACCAUAUAAAUUUUUAUAUGUUUUAUUUCUCAUUUUACCAUAUUUAUCUUGAGUUGUGUUGUCAAAGAACCAUCUCAACCCAAUAGCUUAAGCUGUUAGGUGAGGUCCCAGGAUAUGAUUUAUAUUAUUCUCUAACACACCCCCUCAAGUGAAAGCCCUUUGGGCUUGAAACUUGCACAGGCCCACAUUACCUUGUGCUUAAUUUUUUUUUUUUUUAUCAAAUAAAUGGGGAUGGUGAGAUUCGAACUCGUGACCGCUUGGUCAUCAAGGCUCUGAUACCAUAUCAAGGAACCAUCUCAACCCAAUAGCUUAAGCUGUUAGGUGAGGUCCCAGGAUAUGAUUUAUAUUAUUCUCUAACAUGUGUAUUGGAUGAUCCUAGGAGAAUUUUCAAAACGAGGGAGAUUAAACCUCCUCAUUGUAUAAAUGUAACAUCAAUAGAAGCAAUAGAUAAUGACAUGUAGAUGACAUAGUUGAUCAGUUUAUAGUGUGUGGGGGCAAUCUGGUGUGUAUCACGACUCUCCCUUUUGAAAAUCUUUUGUUAUAUAAAGCCACACAAGGAACACCAUGCAUGUCAAGAACAUUAGUAGAUCGAGUUGUUUGAUCAUGGAAUAUCUUUCUGCAACUUCCUUCACAGCCCUAUUAAGCUUCCCAACUUCACUUCUUGUCUUAGCAAUCAUACUGUUUUACUUCAUCCAAUCCCAUAGGAAUGUCAAGAAACACCCAUUGCCUCCCGGUCCAAAACCAUGGCCUAUUGUUGGAUGCCUCCCUACCAUGCUCCGAAACAAGCCAGUGUAUCGAUGGAUACACAAUCUCAUGAAAGAAAUGAACACUGAAAUAGCUUGUAUCCGUUUAGGAAAUGUUCUUGUGAUUCCUGUCAUUUGUCCUGAUAUUGCUUGUGAAUUCUUAAAAGCACAAGAUAAUACCUUUGCAUCUAGACCUAAUACCAUGACCACAGAUCUCAUCUCGAGAGGUUACUUAGCAACAAUUCUCUCUCCCUCUGGAGACCAAUGGAAUAAAAUGAAGAAAGUUCUUAUGACUCAUGUACUUUCUCCAAAAAAACAUCAGUGGCUUUAUAGCAAAAGAGUUGAAGAAGCUGAUCACCUUGUUCAUUACGUGUAUAACCAGUGCAAGAAGUCUGUGCAUCAAGGUGGCAUUGUGAAUUUGAGAACUGCUGCCCGGCACUAUUGUGCAAAUGUGACUAGGAAGAUGCUGUUCAAUAAGAGGUUUUUUGGGGAGGGAAUGAAAGAUGGGGGACCUGGUUUUGAGGAAGAGGAGUAUAUGGAUGCACUUUUCAGUUGCCUUAAACAUAUAUAUGCAUUUUGCAUCUCGGAUUUUUUGCCAUCUUUGAUAGGGCUUGACUUAGAUGGGCAUGAGAAGGUGGUGAUGGAGAAUCAUAGGAUCAUCAAUAAAUACCAUGAUCCCAUAAUCCAUGAGAGGGUUCAACAAUGGAAGGAUGGUGCAAAGAAGGAUACGGAGGACUUGCUUGAUAUUUUAAUUACCCUAAAAGAUCGUAAUGGCAAUCCCCUGUUGUCAAAAGAUGAGAUAAAAGCUCAAAUUACAGUAAGAUUUAUAUGCAUUUACAUUUUGAAUUCCACAUGGAAACACAUAUUUAUGUCUUUAAUUUUAAGUAACUAGCCAGGCACACAAUUGAAUGGAGAAAAAAAGACUUAAUUAAUUAUACCAGUGAUGAGCUAGUUAUAGCUUAACUGGCACCGUGUCCUUUCCUUUGAGAGUCUCAAGUUUGCAUCUCUUUCCUUAAAAAAAACAUUGUAAUAAUCAAGUUUCACUACUGUAUAUCAUAUAUAGUAAUGAUUUUCAACCACGAUGACACUUGCAGGAAAUAAUGGUUGCAGCAGUGGACAAUCCAUCAAAUGCUUGUGAAUGGGCAUUCGCAGAGAUGCUAAACCAACCUGAGAUACUUGAAAAGGCUACUGAAGAACUGGAUAGAGUGGUUGGAAAGGAGAGACUUGUCCAAGAAUCAGACUUUGCGCAUCUCAAUUACGUGAAGGCAUGUGCUAGAGAAGCAUUCAGGCUUCACCCUUUCGCACCAUUUAACGUUCCUCAUGUGUCGGCCGCCGAUACAACAGUUGCCAACUACUUCAUCCCGAAAGGUUCCUAUGUUCUGCUUAGCCGUCUAGGACUGGGCAGAAACCCUAAAGUAUGGGAUGAGCCGCUCAAGUUCAAGCCAGAGCGUCACCUCAAUGAAAUGGAGAAGGUGGUGCUGACUGAGAAUAAUCUGCGAUUCAUUUCGUUUUCCACUGGAAAACGUGGGUGCAAAGGUGUGACACUUGGGACUUCAAUGACUACCAUGCUAUUUGCUAGACUUCUCCAAGCGUUUACUUGGAGUUUACCACCUCGUCAAUCCAGCAUCGACCUUACCAUUGCAGAAGACAGCAUGGCUCUUGCAAAACCACUGUGUGCACUUGCAAAACCACGCUUGCGUCCACAAGUGUAUCCCGGAUACUGAAGGGAGUACAAGGACUGCGUAUGCUGCAAAAUAUUAUCAAUAGACGUUGUGCCAGAACAUUAGCAGUUAAUGUAAUAAACUCUGGCAACUUUUAUAUUGUUGAGAAAAGAAACAUAAAGGAUUUGUGUUUAGAAUUCCUAUUUAACUAGUUAACUAAAAUUUUUAAUGGAUUGUGAUAGUUUGAGCUUAUAACCCCUAGUAAAAAUAAGAAUAUAAAUAUUUAAGAGUGUUGAAUAUUGUUGUUGCCCAUUUUGGGGCCUAUAUAAACCAAAAAAAAUAAAAAAAUAAAAAAGAAGAAAGCGAAGAGAAAAUGAAAAAAAUAAAAAAAAUACUAAAAGAAAAUCACAAAAAUAUUUCAGUAAGAAUAGUAUACCAGAAUGAACACCCAGUAUUUUCAACUAAUGAAGGCCCCAUUGGCAAAGGAAUAUUAAAUUUAAGGAGGAAAAUUCAAAUUUGAUGUUUAAGGAUUCAAUUGGAAUUUUUCUAGGUUUAAUUGAAUUUAUUGAGGACUCAAUUACAAGAAAAUUGAUUUUUAACUUCAAUUUAGACUUUAAUUGGAAGAAAUUAAAGUCUAGGGGUCGAAUUGCAAUUUUUAAGAGUUAAUUUGGUUCAAUCAGAAGCUUAAUUGCAUAAAUAUUGAAGUUUAAUGGCCAAUUAAAGACUUGAUUGAAGAAAUCCAAAACUAAGCACCAAACUAAAAAAGGCGUGUGAAUGAAAAGGCUGGAAUUGACCAAGUCACGGGUCAAAUUAAAAAAAAUUAAAAGUUUGUUGGUCAAUUGAGGGUAGAAAUGCAUAAAUUUAGAACCAAGGACUAAAAUGAAAAUAACGAUCAACUUUGGAGCUGAUAAUUGAGUUUGGUAAGAGUGAAAUUGCAUGAAAUUAAAAAUCUGGAAGCAAUUACUAGUAUAAUUAAAAGCAAUUAAAAGAGCAGGGACUCAAUCGAAUUUUUCAAAUCCUGAAUAAAAAACCCUAAAUGACAUGUCGUUCAGACUUAAUGAAAAGAAGGCAAAUGCAUGUCAUUCAUCAGCUUGCAUCUUUGUUUUAACAGUUUCAGCUAAUCGAGUUGGCAACUUCAAACACAUGAAUGUAGAGUUACAAACCUCUAAAUUAAGUAAGGUUGGAUCCAAAUGAAAGGUGUACACCCCCUUUACUAAAUUCAGGUGGUCUCAAGCGAUGAUAACUUCAUGAUAACUUCAUAAUUGCUCCGACAAGGUCUCAAAAGUGGGCAACUCAGUCAGUCUUGACAGUGCAACCAUCAUGCUCCUCAAUAGGUUCUUAUCAAGGGUUUACAAUACAUUCAUCAAGAUCAAGAGAUUAGAAAUGAAUUUAAGACCUCCCAAAACCCUAUAAAUACCUCCCUAAAGAUCAAGAAAAUAGGGCUGGAAAAAAAAAAGGAAGAAGGAAAAAAAAUAUUGAUGAAGAAGCUAAAUGUGAAGGUUUGAGAGGCUAACACAAAGUUUUCUCAAGUUUCUUAAGCUUAGUAAGUUUGUGAAAGGCAAAACUUUUCAAAUGAAAGAAAAGAGAGAAAGUAAUUGUUUUAGGUAUAUUUUAAUCCAAAAGCACGCACUUGUGGCUUGCUUAAGGUGUUUUUUAUUUGUUUUUUGCUUUAAUCCAAAAGAGGUUUUGAAUGUUUAACAAAUAAUGUUGCAUUCACCUCUUUGUUGUUAUGAUUUUUAUUUAAUUAAGUUAUGUUGAAUAUUUUUUUUUUUGUGUUUUUGAUGCAUUAAAGUUGUUGUAUAAGUUUGUUUUUGAUAUACAAUGUUGUUUUAGUUUUUGUUUAAAUUUAUGCAUGUUAAAGCAAGGAUGUUUACCCUGGAUUUGUUAGCCAUGUUCAUGCACAAAAUAGGUUCAGAAAAUCAAUUUUGAAUCCAUGUUGCAUGAAUAUAUAGGUUGUUUUUAAGUUGACAAUUUUUUUGAUUUGGUACCUUAUGUUUGAUUUUGAUGCUUUGAUGCUUUUUUAUUAGUUUUUUUAUCAAACAUGUUUUUGUAUGAUAUUGUGACUUGUUGGGACAAAAGGAGAUGUUUUAAAAGCCAAAAAUGCCCAUUACUGGGUUUGGCAAAAGUUGUCUUAGCUAGAGAUUUUUUGGGUUUUCUGAGCAUGUUUUUCGUGUUCUUAGAAAGAACACUGCCUUAGCCUCUAGAUAUGGACCAUGUUUGGUCCAUUUCUUUACACAUACACCUUCUUCAUGCAUGAUUAGUACAUAAUGUAGUGUUCAUUUGCAUCAAUAACAUGUUUUUAUAGGUUUUAAUCCUAAAAUUUUGGUUUUGAACCGAAGCCUAUUUUGAUAAAAAUCGAGAUGUUUUAGUGAUAAUCGAUGUGAAUAGAUACUAGAUUAUUGAUCCUUGCAUAAUUUAUAACAUGUACAUACCUUUGUUUAAACCAAAUUUGGUCUAUUUUGGAACCCAUGUUGCUAGGUUCAUGUUCGGUGUUAUUGAAGUUCCUGGUGUUCUUCAUCUUUUUUGUGUGUUUCAUCCUUUUUGUUCAAGAAUUUUUUAGUUUUUUGUGUUUUUUUGGUGUUCAAUCUAUUUUUUGGCUUUAAUUGUUUUUUGGGUUGUUUUCGAGUUAAACCAGAUUUUUUUCAUUCAGUUUAUGAUCAGGUCAACCUAGUCAGGUCAACUUGGUCGAAUCAAGUCAAAGGGUUUAAUACCCUGUUUGGUUUGCCAUAAUUUUUAUUAAAGGGUUUUUGGGCUUAAAGGUGUGUUUGGAAAACACCUCUUAAGCUUAUUUUUAGAAAUUUUAUUACAAAAAAAAAUGGAUUUUUGCCAAACAAAACCUAAAACAAUAAAAAUAUAAUAUAAUAUUUUUUUUUCUUACAUAUGGCUAAAAUCCUAAAGUUAUUUAAGCAUUUUUUAAAAAAAAAAUACUUUGACAUGUUUUUUUUUAAUAUUGCAUAGAUUUUACAACAAGUUUGUAAAAUUUCAAAGGAUUUUGUUCUACAUUUCAAAAAUAUCAAAAAAAAAAGAUUUUUUGUUUUUUUUAAUAUAUGGGAUUAUAAACUUAUAUGGAAGACAUAUUCCUAAUAUUAAAUAAAAAGAUAAUUUAUUUUAUUUUUUGAUGUUGGGAUUAGAACGGUUAGAUUUUUAACUUGAUAAAAUAAGGAUCUCCUUACAGAGAAUGAUUUUUCUUAAACCUUAAACAGAUCAUUAGUUAGAAAACACAACUUUUUCUUAGUUUAUAUUAGACAAAUAAACAAUGCAGCUUACCUUAGUUAAGGUGUAUUAGGGGAGAUAAUACCUUCCAUUUAUACAUCAGUCCCCUUACCAAAAAUCUAAGACCAGUCAUGGUUUAUAAUGACUAAAAUACUACGUGGCAACUCUCAUUAAUUGUAAGAACUCAACUCCCAUUAAAAGAGCUCCCAUUAGAAAAACUCUUAUCUCCAAACUCAUUCGAAGAAUUCAACUCCCACUAGAGGAACUCUCAUAUUUGAACUCAUUGAAGGAACUAAACUCUCAUUGAAUGAACUCUCAUCUUCAAACUCAUUAGAGGAACUUACAUCUUCAAACUCAUUAGAGGAACUUAACUCCCAUUAGAGGAACUCUCACUAGAGGAACUUUCUUUGGAGGAACUCUCAUCUCCAAACUCAUUGGAUGAACUCUCUUUAUAGGAACUCAACUCUCAUUAGAGGAACUAUCAUCUCUAAACUCAUUGGAGGAACUCUCAUCUCUGAACUCAUUGGAGAAACUCAACUCCCAUGGAAGGAACUUUCAUUUUUGAAUUUAUUAGAGGGACUCUAAUUGGAGGAACUCCCUUUAUAAGAACUUAACUCCUAUUAAAACAGCUCCCAUUAGAGGAACUCUCAUUUCUAAACUCAUUGGAGAGACUUAACUCCCAUUAGAGAAACUCCCAUACCCAAACUCAUUGGAGGAACUCAACUCCCAUUAGAGAAAAUCAUAUCUUUGAACUCAUUAGAAGAAUUCAACUCUCAUUGGAGCAACUCUCACUUAAGAAACUCCCUUAAAAGAAACUCCUUUUGGAGGAACUCUCAUUAAAGAAACUCAAUGGAGAAACGCAUUAAGGGUGAAACUCGUACUUAGAAAUUUUCUAAAUGGCUAGAGGGAACCCAUAGGAGAAUAAACAUAUACUUAGAAAAUUUCUAAGUGAUCGAAAGGAACCCAAUGAGGGUGGUGCUAUUGCACUAUGAAAAUUAAGUCAAUCCCUUAGAAAGUAGUGUUAUUGCACUAGGAAGACCAAGUCAAUCCCUUGAAGAGUGGUGUUAUUGCACUAGAUAGACACAUUACCAAUCCCUUGGAGAGUGGUGUUAUUAUAAUAGGAAGAUCUCAUAUGAAUCCCUUGGAGAGUGGUGCUAUUGCACUAAGGAGAUCUCAUAUCAAUCCCUUGGAGAGUGGUGCUAUUGCACUAAGGAGAUCUCAUAUCAAUCCCUAAGUCCAGUAGAUGGAGCUUGUCCAGUAGAUGGAGCUUGUCUAGUAGGUGGAACUCAUCUUUUAUGUAUCAUCAAAGCUCCCUAAGUCCAGUAGAUGGAGCUUGUCCAGUAGAUGGAGCUUGUCUAGUAGGUGGAACUCAUCUUUUAUGUAUCAUCAAAGCUCCCUAAGUCCCAGUGACACCUUUUGACAUGUACAAGUCGCCAUGAAUAUUAUGGGUGUUGCCUUGGGGCAUAGUCGUGGUGUGUCAUCGUGGGUGUAGUCAUAGGCACAACUACCACUGCGAUGGGGCUCCAUCAACCAUGAAAAGAGCUUUUGAGAAACAUGAAUAAACUGGCUUUUUAUUUGGUUUCCCUCAAACGACAUCAAUGAUGAGGCCUCAAAAAAUCUAAGUAGCUUAGGACCAAGGCUCAUGUAUUGGAUAAUCAGUUAAUCUCUUAGUUCUACCAAUUUAAUCCAUUCUUCCUUGUCAAGGUGGCUGGUAGCUUGUACCUGGUGUUUGGUAGGCCAAGGCUAGUUGGCUGGUACCUCCAAAGGGCCUCUUUUGUAGAUUUGGAGACUCUUAGAUGCUUAAGUAAGUAUCUUUGUGAAGAGAGAAAGUGCAAUGAUAUUUUAGAGAGAUAAACUUUGAAAAUAUGUGUGCUAGAAAUAUUAAGAAUAAAGAGAUUGUGAACCUAGAGCUUAAAGGAUUCAUGAGGUAUUUAUAGCUCAUAAGUUUUGUUCUUUUAUGGAGAUGAGGGGAUGGAGAGUCAUUUUAUCACAGUGAUAUUUUUUGAGUUGUUUUUCACUCAAAAUAAUAUGUAUUGAAUCAGUAUAAAAUAUUGAGGGACCCGUGUGGAGGUUUUAAAAAAUUACCGAGAGAGUGUUGGGCUCAAGCGAGUUGUUUAAGCCCGUUAAGAGCAAAAAAAUGGGUUCGGGCGUGCUACCCAGGAUCCAUGGUCAUUGAGUCCAGGGAUCGCCUAGACCCAUUCUUUUUGGACCGUUGGGGGGUUUUGAGCUUGAAUUCACGGCAAAGAUUUCUAGUUCAUACUCAGCAUCAUUUCUAUCUGCUUGCCUUAUUUGUGUUAUAAAUAUAUCGUAUAAUAGGUCGUGGUUGAUAUCCUUGCUUUCUUUACUAUAGCAACAAAACAACAUUUACGUGGCCUCCCAUUACUCAGGAGCUUAUAUAUUUUUAAUGAAAACUUUGUAGGAACGAUGAACCAGCACAUGAUACAUGAUCAGCUUGAAAAGAUGGACCCUCAACAUCUGGUCAAGAAAUGGAGAUACGUGAGGACCAGCAAGAUCCACGAGGAACAAUGUUUACCAGGACAAAUAUCAUUAUCACCGUCUGCCACUAUUAUCUGAUUAAUUUGUGGCUGUGGAACUCCAGCUCGUAUGAACAAUGUUUUUCAUGAGUUCUGUUGUGCACAAAACCUAGAUAUCAUCGAUCUCAUUCACAUCGACAUAAAUCAUCUGUUGUUACUUAUUUUUGGACCCCACGUGUUGGAGACGGUGUAUACCUCUUUUGAACUGAGUGUAGGAGUUUAACUCAUGUUUGCUGGAAGAUUGACAAAAACAGAGAAAGAAAUAUUUUUUUUCGAAACCCUGUUUGAGCUGUUUUCUGCUCUCUUUAUCCUUCCCCAUUGCUGCCAAAAUCAUCAGGUUUUCUUAGAUUGAUCAGCAGUCUUCAUAAUGCUAAAUUCGUUCCUUCUUUAUCUGGUCUUUAAGGUUGGAUAAAUCCCUCAGAAUUUGCACUAAAAAAAAUUGGUUCUGCUGUUGUCGCAAUUUUUUUUUGUUCCAAUUUAAGCUUUGAUUCUGACUUCGUUUCGUACGAUAUCUGCCCAUCCUAGCUAUAUUCUGUCACUCAUGACAUGUUGAAAAAUUGACCUACACCUUUAUUGGGUCCUAGGGAUCAUUGUUCUUAAAGCAGACUCUCAGUCAGAUUUGGAUGCUCGGCAUUGUCAGAUCAAGAACCUUUUUUACCAACUAGAUUCCUGCCAGAUUCUGUUAUCUAAAAAGAUUUUAUCUCACUUUGAAUCCUUCAUCAAAGUUGUAGUUCGGGACAUGUAGAUAAAUUUGGGCUUUAAAUCGCUUGAUUUCGAUAUUAGAAGCUCAAGAUAUUCCCGUUUGAAUAUCUAACGUGAAAGUAGAAAAUUCUGCCGCGAGAAGGAUCCUGACCCGAGUUUUGCACUAAAAACUCUAUUUCCGUCACAAAUUUUAUUGAUUUGUUCUUAGGUCAUACUCUCAGUCCUAUCAGGAUUCUCGGCAUUGUCAGUUUCUGAAUUAGAUCAGGAGACCCUUUUUGAUUAACCAGAUUACUGCCAGAUUUUGUUCUCUAAAAUGAUUUUAUCUCACUUCUACUCCUUCAUCAAAGUUGUAGUCCUGGACGUGUAGAUAAAUUUAGGCUUUUGAACCGCUUGAUUUCAAUAUCAGAAGCUCAAGAUAUUUCCAUUUGAAUAUCUAGUGUGAAAGCAAGGAUUCCUGCCGCGAGAAGGAUUUUUUUUUGCCUGAGUUUGCAGGGACACAAUUGCAAGAUGCUUAAAGUUUGAAGACCAAUUGCAGGCCAAUUUGAAGCUCUUUUUUGGACCAAGGACCAAAUGGAAAAGGUGCUAAAAUAAGGAAGUUGAUUGAAGAUAAAAUUAUAAGGAAUUUUGCCGAAAGAAGAAAUUGAAGAAACCAUGUUUUCAUCUGCACAGCUAGCCCGGUUUUUCUUUCCUUUUAUCUGCAAUUUCCUGUUUGGUUUCCAUGUUUCUCUCGCUUGAAUGGAGAGCUGCAGACCAUGUUUUUAUUGCCUCAUUUCAAAGGGAGCAGUUAGCUUCAUGGUCCCAGCUAUGGAAGGAAAGAAAGGAGCUGCACCAUCCUCUAAAAUACUGGAAAGAAAUCAGAUAUGAUCACAAAAUCAGAAUCAAAAUAUUUUGGUUUCCUAUUUCUGCUCACCCGAGAUUACACCCUAGAGUUAAUGUAAUAUUUGUUUCCUAAAUAGAGCUGUGUUUUAGGUUAUAAGCCCCUCUAAUGACCUAGGAAGAAGAGGGGGGGAAAGAAGGGAAGCAGAAGGAAAAAAAAAGGGGGGGCAGAAAAACAGGAAAAGAAAGACAAAAAAUGCAAGAGAGGUAGGCAGUUAGGAGAGAAAAAAACACAGAGAACAGAGGGGGUUUCUUCCUUCAUCCUUGCAUGGCUGUGAGAUCAGGAAGGCAGGCAGUAGAAAAGAAAGAAGAGAAAAGAAAAGACGAAAAAAAGAGAGGAGAAACAAGGAAGAAGUAGGGACUGACUUUCAGUCUUUGCUCCAUUUUUUCUGCACAUAAAAUCUACAGAACAGGGGAAAAGAAAGUGCAGGAACCAGUAGAGAGAGUGACAAAGACGCAGAGGAAAGAAAAAGCAAGAAACAGACGCAAAUACAGAACAGAAGGAAAAGGUUUGAAACAGACGAACACAGACCAAGCAACCAUCACGCUCUCAACGUUGUUGCAGCUUCUUUGUCUCCAGGUCUGUUCUCUUCACCUCUUGCAUGCAUUUGUUUUCUUUGUGUUUGAACUGUUCAAGUGAAUUUUAAUUCACUUGAACAGUAACGUGGUCUCUUUGCAUGCAUUUUACUUUGUGUGUGUACUGUCCAAUAUUGGAAGUUUCGAAAAUGUGUUUUUGCAUGGAUUUCUUAAACACAACAAAAAUUAUUUUCUUGCAUUACUGGAUUUUACAACAUGUUUGUAAAACUCCAAAGGGAUUGGCUAAUAUUCCAAAAAAAAAAAAUCUUAUUUUGGAGGGAAUUCAUCUAUUAUUCACCGUUAAUGUUUGGAUGAAGAAAUCUCAAAGGGAUGAAUAUCCAAAAUAUUAAUGGGAAUAACUUAUUAUUCACUGUUAAUAUUUGGAUAAAGAAACUCUAACUCGUAAAUAUCCAAAAUAAUUUUCUAGGGAUAAUAAGUCAUCACACAUCCUUGAAAUAAGCUUUAAUUAUAAUGACAUUUCAAUUUUUUACUCUACAGUUUACGAGCCGUGAGAGUAUAAAACACUAAGGCAAAAAUAGGCUUUUAAAGCGCCAUAGAUUUCUAAAUUUUUGUCCCUCCUCCUUGCGAUUUACAAGUUGCAAACUCUUGAAAUACUAAGGGAAAAAUGAGCUUUUAAAGCACAUGAAAUCUCCUUGGAUUUCUAUCUUAAUAAAUUUAGUUUGAAUCAAACGUAGGAAAAUUGAUGGGAUUAGAAAACACCAACACCAUAGCAAUUAUAAAGCAAACCAAACACCAAGCAGUUUACCUUAGGUAAGGCGUACCAGGGGUGUUAAUACAUUCCCUUUACGCAACUAGUCUCUUGCCUUAGAAUCUCUGAAAGACCAGUUAGGGUUCCUAGUGACCAAAAUACUAGGUGGCGACUCCUUUACACAAUAAACAAAAAAAACCAAAAUCAAUCAUGGGUCACCGCGCUCCGCAGUGAGGGUGCGACACCAUCCAUUAAUCACAUGACUGUGCAUCCGAAUGUGUGCAUUUUAAACGUCAAAGUUGGUGAAAAUUUGAUCAAACAAAUGAUCGUUAAACACGGAAACACAAAAAAGAAAAAAAAAUCAUAGAAAUAGAUUUUAUUUUAUCCAAAAAAAAAAAAAAGGCUUCGAUUUUGAUUAUAUAUAUUGCUAUCGUUUAUAAAUAAGAUAACAAAAUUUAAAAGAAAUGCUUACAUCAUUUAAAGAAACACGUCGUGUGUGUGUGCGCAUAUAUAGUACUAUGAACAAAUUAAACUUCCAUUUACGUUUUAUUUUAGGUUAAAUUUCUUGAAAUUUAGCUGGCUAGAAAAAUAAUGACAACCAAGACACUUAAUAAUAAAUCAUAUUAUAAAAAGAAUAAUGUAAAAAAGAGAAGUUUUAGAGUAUUUUAGAAAUAAUUAUCAAUAAUUGCUUUAUAUGAUAGGGAUAGAUAUAAUUAAAGAGAAGAGACCAACACGAGAGAAAAUUAAAAAAUAAUUUUUAAGUUUAGAUGAAAGUAUAUUUUAUCAAUAGGAUCAAAUAUAAUUUUCUUUUCUAUCUUUGUAAUUAUCUAUCUUCCCAAAAUAAACUCGUGGAAUAACUUUUGAUAGUUAUUAUUGAAUUAUUUAAAAAACAAUUAUAUAAAUUAACAUGUUAAAGAACUAGUCUUAACUUAAAAACUUAAAUUAUUAGAUAAAAUUUCAAAAAUAAUUUUAUAUCACUUUUUAAUAAAAUUCUUUCAAGUAAAAACUAUUUGAAUAUAAAAUUAUUAUUCGCUAUGUUGUGCUUAAUUUUCAUAUUAUCUUAUGUUUUUUUUAUUUAUAUUAGAUAUAAAUAGAUUAUAUUUGAGUGAUGUAUUUAUAAAAAUAAAAAUCAGUCAUCUAAAAUAAAUAAAUAAAAACACAGAUUAAAAAUAAAAUAAUAUUUAAAUAUUUUCAUGCUCAUAUAUUUGGCUUUUAGGAGAAAGAUUUCCUAUAUAUUUUAGCUUUUAAAAAAAUAUUAACAACUUUUUAUAAUAAUUUUUUAUUUAAAUUUAAAUAAAUACCCCUCUUUCUAAAUUUUCAAAAUUUUUAGUUAAUUUAUUUAAAUAUCAGUCAAUCCACCAAAACCGACCAUCAAUUUUUAGGAAUAUGGGCCGGUCAUCUGCCACUGUUGUUGUGUAGCCUAAAGGGAGUUAGCAUGAUGAAUGUCAUGUGACCUGUUAAUUUUUUUUUAAUAUUAAAAAAUAUUUAAAUAUUGAAAAUAUUUUUUUUAACAGAAAAAAAUUAAAUUGUGUGAGUAUUUACUCUAUAUAAUCCGGUUGACAUAACUGGUCUAAAAACAAUUCAUACAACAUGUAAAAAUAAUAUUUGACUAAAUAAAAUUUCAAGAUGAUAUAUUUUUUUAAUAUUUAAAUAACAAUAUAUUUGAUUGACUUGAGACAAUCUAGAUUAACAUGUCAAAUUUGUGACCCAGAUUAUAAAAUUAUAAUAACCCUAUAGAAAGCAAAUCAAAAUAAAUUAUGAAGUCAAAUUCUCAAUCAAUCCAAUAUUAAAUAAUAAAAUUUUAAAACAGAUCAAUUAUAAAAACAUUUAAAAAUCAAACCAACUUAACAUGUUAAACUUAUAUUUUAAAUCAUGAAACCAAAAUAACUACGAAUGUAUAAACUAAUGCUUCCAUAGAUUCAAUCGUGGUUUACAAUUAUAGCUUCUAUAUCUAUUUAUUUAGAGUAUUCCUGGAUAAAAAAAAAAGUAAGAGUCAAGAUAAAGAAAAGGCGGCGAUUCAAAUCAAGAUGUCUCCAGUAUCCUAUGUCAAAUUUCAAAAAGAAAAUAAAGAUGCUAAAUCAGAGAUUAAUGUUGUAUCAAACUACAAACUUGCCAUUGCAGAAGACAGCAUGGCUCUUGCAAAACCACGCUUGCCUCCGCAUUUGUAUCCCGGAUACUGAACCGAGUACAAGUAAUACGUGUGCUGCAAAAUAUCAUCAAUGGAGAUUAGCGUAACAAUAGCAUUGUAAUAGCAUCUGGCAGCCUUUUUUAAUCAAAUAAUGAGAAUUCAAAUCAUGUUCUUCAUUUGUGAAUUUGUGAGAAAUGAUGUUGUGGGCUUGCAUGGAUGCAUCCAAGCUCACCCCCUUGCAAUAUGUACAAAACAAACCUUUUGGAUUUAAAAUGGCAGACAAAAUUGAAAUUAUUCCGAAUUGAGUGUUGGAUUUCAAGCAAAAAUUAAUUGACAAGUAAAAAUAUAUGGUAAAUUACAACUGCGAGUAGACAGUCUGAGAUUAUGAAUGGGGUGCAAAGAAUUGUGUUGAAAUGGCACGAUUUUACUUGACAUUAACCGAAGGUUGAUUAGCCCAAGUGCUCUCUUUUGGGUUCUUUGAAUUGUUAAAGGGCUUAACAUCUUGAGUGAUCUCUCUAAUUUGGGCAUUUGAUCAUGUCAAACCCUCUGCUUUAAAUUGAAUCAAAUAAAACUAAAAGCUUCUAAAAUUCUAAUUAGAAUGCAAUUUGAGAUCCUCUGUCAACAAUUUCAUAACACCCUGCAUGAACACAGAGACGGGGGGGAGUUGAAAAUUAAACAUUCUGCAAAAUUGCAUUUUCUAUGACUGUAGAGAGAUGUGCGACACCACCCCUUUGGAGAGGGCAUUAAAAACGAAAAUGGAUUACAGUAUAAGAGAGAAGAUGAUUGAACUCUUCAUGAACUACCAAGCCGAUAUAAAAUGAGUAAACAGUAGCCUCAAUCGCGUAUGCUCUCGUGAGUCCAGCCUAUUGAUGCCAGAAAUGCUUCAUCAGAUAGGCGCCUCAGACUCUCUCCACUUUUUUGAGCUGGCCCUCCCUGUUGGUCCCACACGAAGCUUGAAAGCCCAUUUUGCUUAAUAUAAUUAUCCAACGGUGAGUUGGCGGUGUCAACAAGGUUCAUCGUGCUCAAUCCUGGUAUUUCCAGUGACGUGUCCUCACUAUUGGGGUGACAAUUUAGGUCUAUUUGCCCAGCACUAGUUUCUGGCUUCUCUAUUUGCCUUUGGCUUUGAUUUCCUUCAGUGUCUGGAUUAUUUAUAUGCAACACUUCAUGACUCAUUGUGCCGUUCAUUUCUGAUUCCUCCUUAUGAUCCAUGUUGUCCUUCUGUGAGAUUUCUGCUUCGCGUUCUGAUUGGCGUUUCUUCUUGCGCAGCAUGAGGGUUUUAAAACGGCGCUUUACAGUCAUGCACACAUUACACGUGCAUGUGGGCUUGUGCUUGCCUUUCCCACUUGGUGGUUGAAUGCAAACGAUGCAAGUGCAACCAAGGCGGUGCCGGGGAUGCUUUGUGGUGGCUCCAACUGAUGGAUCACCUGAAUCAUCUAGAUUGUCUCCUAAAACUGCAACAGUAGCCAGAGCAUCUAAGCCAGAAGACUCCCGCUCUUGGAACCGCUUCUGACUUCUUAAAUUCCUUCGCUUCUUGAAAUCUGCUUUUGCAAAGAUGUAGGGGUGGAAUUUCAAAUCAAGGAGAUGUUCAGAGAUUCAUCAAGGAUAAAAAUCACGCACUUCAGAAAAAUGAAAAAAAAUCACCACUGCUAUUCAACUGUCUUUUACUUGACAGUAACUGAAUCACGGAUUUACAUACAAGGUUAUUAAGCUUACAUUUCAAAUGAAAAUCUUUAUAAAAAGUACUAUCAACGACUCUUCAAAUCAUGUGUUUUCCUUGACAAUGAAAGAUUUUAUUAUAUAUAUUGGUUUUUUAAGCAACCUGCAUUAGUAUGGAAUUUCAGCUAUCUAGUCAUGAUGAUUCACCCACUUGCAUUAAAAUUCCUCAUCAGAACAUGACAUAGGAGGAAAAUGCCUAUUAGUCUGCCCAGUUAUUGUACUAUGUGCAAAAACUUACUACCACACAUAAAAACACACAGUCUACAGCAAGCUAAAGUCUGUCUAAAUCAAACGACAUAGAACUCCUCAAUGUAUAAAAGCUUAUGCAGAAAGCACAGAGUUCUGGUCAUACCUUUGCUCACUCCCAGAACAUUAUCCAAAUCCUUUGAAGUCAUCUCUUCAGGUGCAGAACAUGUACACCUAGGAAUGUAGACCAUUAAAAUAUGAAAUGUGAAACCAAAUAACAAUCAUGAAUGAUUUUAAAUGAAAUAUCCUAAAAACAAUAAAAAAAAUGAGCAACCUGCUUGAAUCCCAAGCAUUCUCUGAGCACGUCCAUUUUGGAGGGAGAAGAGCAUCCACAGGAAGAUUUCGCCAUUUGGAACAAUCAUCACAUUGAGCCCACUGUUCUUGUCCCCUGAAGGUUCAGCUAUAGAAAAUUAAAAUAACUAAUAUUGGGAACUUAGACAAGCCCGUUCAUGCAGAUUAAAAAUUCCACCAAGUGAUCAACCUUCCAGCUUGCUGCAUAACCAUAGAUGUUUCAUUGCACUAGUUGUUGUGAUGGUGAAGAUGGGAGAGGAAGAGAGGUAUAUUACAAGCUCAAAACAGAUGAAGGUUGGGAAUAGAGCUGCUAGAUCUCUGUUGCUUCCCUUGAUUAAAGAUAGUAAGAAGCAGGGAGCAAGCAGGCAAAAAGAACUUUGCCGCCAUCCAUAUCAAGGUCUAUGGAAUCAACACAUGCCUUUUCUAAUAGAAACUAACAGAGCCUCUUUCAAAAUUUGAGUACAAUGGACUACAGGAAAAUGUUGACAACAGACAACCCGUACAUUGGACAAAUGCUGAAAGAACUCCAAGAUAUCCUUUUACCAACACAUUACUGUAGUUCUUUUUCUUAAUACAGAAAGUAAUGCUAGGCAUAUGUAUAAAUCCUUACCCAGAUGAUCUAGAAGUAAAUAUGGUCCUCUUCCCAAAAACCGGAGGCUCCUAAAAGACAAAGAAAUUUGAUCAAAUAAUUAAUCCAGAAAAAAUGGUCGAAUUUGGAAAUUCAAUACUAUGAAUCCUUUGAUGCAUCAUUGCACAUAAUUUGCAAUGCAUGGGCAAGAAAAAUCAUGGAACAAGAGAAACGUACAUCAUAUUCUUCAAAUUCAUGGUCUUCAAUAGUGACAAUGGUUGGCUUCACGCUUGGGGGUGGACGAAGCAAGUCCUGUGCUUCCUCCCAUGUUAGUCUUAGCUCCAUAGCGUCUUCACUAUGCAUGAACAACCUCUUACUUUUAGGUCCAAUAUUUUGAGUCCUUUUCUUCUCUGUGGGCGCUGUUGUUUGCUGCAGUAGAUCCCCAUUUAUCCUGCCCCUGUGGUUCUCACUAUUGUUCCAGCCAAUAUCCCCAUCAGCUAAUUUCAAACGUUUGGACAGAGCAUUUUGGUAAGGAUCCUUGCUGCCUUUAAUGAUUUGAAAAGGACAGAUUAACCACUUACUGUAAGGAGAGUCUCAACAGUACCAGAAAAGGAAGUUUCCCCUGAAGCAGUGCCAUCGAGAAGACCAGAUGCCUGGACGUCCUGUUUAUUCAACAAGCAAAGUAAACGUAAAUUUUUCCACACACCAAAAAAGAGAAAAGGCAUAUGAAAGUUAAAGGAUUCAGAAUGAAGUGAAAAUGCCAAUGAGGCUCAACCUGUGUAUCUUCAUCGUUGUUUGUUGACUUGCGAAAUCCCAUGACAAGUUUGCCUCCAGGAUCUAUCCGGCUAAAUGUUACUGAGAUAGGAAAAAGAUAGCAUUCCUAAGAUAACAUUAGAGAGAAAGAGAAACACAUGACACGCAAAAGAUAUUUACUUCCACUAGAGUAAAGAACGCAAAAAUAUGACUAGUAUAAUAGAUCACACAGUGAUCAAAUGAGGUACCGUUAAUGCACUUUAAUUCUGUUGGAAAGGAUUCGAAUUUCAUACAGAUAGACAAGAUUUAAGCAGGCUAAUGCAGCUGAGAACAUCUCCCUUCGUGCCAAAACAAGUUAUAUGGUGCUCCAUUAAUUUAAAUAACUGUACCACCUUCCUGGUCCAUACAUGAUUUUUAUAUAAACCAGCUGAUUGUUAUGGCCUUAAUUUGAAUGAAGCAAUAUAUAUCUUAUAUAACUAUGUAUUAACAUCAUCCUUUUAUCAAGACUAGAAAUCAAGCACAGAGUCAUCCCCAGAAAGGAAUAGCAUAAGCUUUAUGUUAAAGCAUCACAGUUUACAAUUCAAUGUGCAAAAUAUGUUGAGCACUCAGGCAUUAAUAUCAACUUUAAGCAAGAAUAUAAUUGAUCAUACUUGUAUCACCCGCUUUUAAUUGCAUAGAGUGUAUGCAAGGGGUUACACCCUCCAACACAUACAUCCUACUGUUGUUGUUGGGCCAAAAUCUGAACUGAAACGUCCAUUCUCUCCCUUUUAUAUCUUGAAUCCUUAAAGGAAUCCCUUCAGAUUGAGAGAUAGCAGGAAAAUAUGCCUGCAAUGGCUUAAAUCUUACACAAAUACAAAAGCAAAGAGAGAAGCACAACCAAAAAAAGAAGAACAGAAAAAGGGCACAGGCUAUACAAUUUUAAACUUACUUCUGCACAUGCUUUUGGAAGAACCAAUCGACCAAUUCGACCUGCAUCACUGGCACUGAGAAUCUUCUCAAACAAUGGCACAAUAUUGGAGUUCAAACUUUUAGACAACAUGCUUAAGGAAACCACUAAUUCUGAAUCCAUUGAUGAUGAAAAAAAUACAAAUCACAGAAGCAAAUUUACCCAACAAAUUAGACUUUAAAAUAAAGGAUACUCUCCCGAUAAUUGCUGCAGCUCUUGGUCAGUUAUCCUUGGCCAAUACCGAGGAAGUAACUGAUUCUUCCCACGCCCCUCAGCAGGUGGCCUUGCAAUCCGCAGCUCAGAAGCUGCACCUAUAUUAUUCUCUGAACUCACAGAAAGGCCAGGUUUUGAGGGUUUAGGCAAUAUUGGUCGAGAUCUUUGUCCCUGUUGAAAGGAAGAAGGUGUUUUUCUUUGUUCCUUUCCUUCAACAGCCCCAUCAGGAAAGGUUACAAAAUUUGUAGUCCCAGAUGGAGCUCCCAAUGCCAUACUCAAAGAUGGCUGAGAAAGUGAACUGUGCAUAUCUCUCAAAUCUAACAAAGAACUCGUAUUGUUUGGUUUGGAAAAUUUAGGUGAUCCAAUUGAUGGUUGAGUCACAUUUGAGAAGCCUGUGCCAAUAUCCCCAAUUGCAUGCAUGAUCUCUUCUUGUCUGAAUUGCCCAAGACCUCCAUUAGUGUUGGCUCUCUUGGAGGGAUGCAAUAGACUGGGUUCAUUAGCCUCUAGAAGCCUGCACAACUGAGCAAGUCCUCCCUCAUCAUUGCUAUUACCAGCCACUGUGUUUUCAGCAGGAAUGGACUCCGAAUCACCAGCAUUAUUUCUUGCCAAAAAGCUAAAUCCAUUAGGAAUCUCAUCACUUUGCAUCUGCAUGAGCAAAUAAAGAAACUAAUGAAAGACCAUGUGACUAGAGCCAUUAAAAGCAUACUGUCUUACAGUCAGAUCAUUUAAAAUGCCAACAGCAUACAUCAUCCUAUGUACAACAACCAUAAUUUUAAGUCAUCAAAAUAAAAAUCAAGCAUGAGGAUCUAUAGGCACAUGCAAUAUUGUUUAACUAUAAUGCUUAAGGAUAAGCUUCCAUAUAUAUUCAGCUCUUUCACAAGAACACAUUAAUCAUGUCUGUCACCAAAUUGUAUAAAAGGAACAGGCAACAAUCCUGAAACCAUUUCUGGAGAAUCACCAGGACAACCAAAGUCUUCAAAGCCAUAAUGCUUGCAACCUAUUUUCACACGUGUAGCGUGUGAUCUAAUAAGCCUCUAUGAAUGACUCAUGCUUUUGACAGAAUGACCAGUAACGGUUGAAAACCAAAAGCAGUUGUUUAACCCAUUCAAACUAAUAUUCAAACACGAUGCAUACAACAAACUAGAAAUGCAAUGCAUCUUACCAAAUGAAGUCGAGAACUCCUUGCGCAGCUAGCACACCCAACACCCCCAUAAUCCAAGAGUUCAAGCAAAAACUUUGAUGCUAUGCAUCCACAGUGGAGAUGCUGCCACACAAAUUUCAAUUAGUUCUCUUUUUUUUUUUUUUUUUUGGGGGGGGGGGGGGGUGGGGUGGGGGUGGGGGGGCAUGAAUUGAUAUCAUCUGAGAAAGGUUCAACUAGAAAGGAGGGGUUUGGAAAAAGUAAUAGCUACUAGAUUAUUAGCUUACCUUGCUGCAUAUAUUGCAUUCCCUCCAUCCAGGUUCCUCUGAGUGGAAAGUAUCGCAGAAAAGGGAAUCCUCAUAUGCAGAUCUUAAGUUGAAUAUAAAGAUAGAACCCACAUCAAAUUAGCAAGUAUAUAGUGAAAAGCAAUGGAAGCAAACAUAAUGACACCAAUGGAAUGGUCAAUCAGAACCAGGAUAUUUCUGAGUUGAAGGUAAAAGCAUCUUGUAAUGCACCACAAGGUCAACUAGAGUAAAUGUUAAACUGUUGCAAACUUAUGAAAGUUAUAAGAUAUCUCGUAAUUUCACGACGCUUUCAGAAACGGGCAAGGGGUGGUUAUAAAGCUCCAUGCAUUACAGAAAUUCAGUGGAAAAAAGAAAAAACAAGCGUAACAAAUGAGCCAGUUCAAAACUGAACUACUAAAAUCUGUUGAAAGCAACUGACAUGGCAACAUCUCUAUCAAAUUUUAAAAUUUGCUACAGUUGCAGUUAAUGUGAGAAUGGAUUAUUCACUCAAAUUAAAGUUGAGCAUCCACUCCCAGCCAAAUGCAUAAGAAAGUGCAUUAUCAAAAAAAAAACAAAAAACAAUUGUCCAAGUUUAUUGCUUGAGGCUCAUUCUGCUUAAAGAUAAAAUUCGAUAGGUUCUCCUAGGAUGGCCAGCAAUUUUCCUCAGCUGGUUAAUACCAUGAACAAAAUUCAAUACACUGUGGCUGUGGCGGGUGAAUUGUAUGGUUGCUUAUAAGCCAUAAUUAGCGGCUUAAUUAUAUGCUAUAAUUAAAGAUGAAAAGUUUCCAUGAUACGAUAACAAGCAGUAGCUGAGGUAUAGCUGGUUUUGCUCGAGUACUAAUUAUCUAAUUAUAGAUGUCUUAAUAACCAUAAUCACAAUGUCACCGAUUCUUACAACAAAAGUACGAAAACACACCACAUGACAGAAAUCUAGUCCAGUGAAAACCCAAUUCACAAAAACAAGGAAUCGAUUAGCAAAAACAACAAAGUGAUGAACUAGAAACAAAACCUCACAUCCCCAAACUGCCCUUGAAGAGGCUACUUAGCUAGCAUUGGAAAUUAAAUCCAGUAUUAAAAUGAAGAGGGGGGGGAUUACCCGCAAUUGUAGCAGAGAAGAGCAUGACCACCAGAUCGCAAAGGCCAGCCUCUCUUCCAUUCAUGAGUUGUUGCAGUUUGACACGACGCAUUCAUGCAAAUCUUGGUGCCCAUUUCUUUUAUUCAAAAAAUAAAAAUCAACCCUUUUAAUUGAUAAACAACCAAUGAUUAACAAAAAAAACAAAUCACAAAGAUCCCUAAAACCCCUUCUUAACCAAAACCCACAAUUUAAUUGAAACAAAAAUUAAAACUUGACAAUCUAAUCUCUCCAUGCACAACAUUAUAAAUAAUUCCAAAAAGAAAAGUCCCAAGUCUUUAAACAAGAGAUAAUAUUUUCAGCAUACUUACCUUCAUUAACACAAAACCAAAGAGUUAGUGCGUGGUGAGUAGAGUAGAGUGGAAGAAGAGGAGGAGGAGGAAGAGUAACAGCGAACGAGUUAAGUUUGUUUGUUUGGUAGUAGUAUUAUGGAUGGGCAAAGACAGAGAGACAAAGUGUGUUUAUUUGUUUUAUAAAUAGAACAGAGAGAGAGAGAGAGAGUGCAUGCAAAUAUGCGGAAGGAAGGGAAGAGGGGAAAAAGGAAGGAUGCAUGCACGACACUUUACACCGCUUUCCUAACAAACAUUGAAGAGAAGAGAAAGGAACAGUAGUCGACUCUUUUUCUUUAACUCACUCAUUCGGACAAUGAUGGCAUCACACGGCGGUUUCGUGGGUUUUUGUGAAGAACUGUACUCAGAUGACAUGUAGAUGAGAUUGACUGUUCCCUUCUGCUAUCUUCAUGGCUACUUGUGUCCUGUCUUUUUACGGCAAUAAAACCACGGCCUGAAACUAGUUACUGUACGUUAAAGCGUGUUUUUUUAAUAAAAAAAAUAAUAUUAUUAUUAUUUUUGUAUAUUUCUUUUUCUGCAAUUAAUCUCAGAGUAAAACGUGAUUGGCUGACAAGUACUUUAAUCCUUACUCAUUCAAUUUCAUUAAAAAAAAAAAAAAAAAAAACAUUUCAUGGGAAUGGUAAUUAGUUGUUCUCUCUCAUUUUAAGCUUUUAAAUAAUUAAGGUUAAGAAAACGAGGGAAAUGUUUAACAAAGACAUGUUUUAGUCUCUUCGUGAUUAUCUGCAUGCUGCAAUGAUUUGUGUUUCCAUCUACCAAUCUUCAAUUAUUGAUGAGGAUCAUAAUUAAUCUCCAUAGCUACUCUCAGCUGUCAUUUCUUUUCCAUAUUCGGCUAAUUAAGCAGGACAUGCAUGAAGAUGAAGUUUCAAUCUACAUCAGUGUCAUCCCACUACAAUAAUUUUCUGAGCCAUGAUUAUAGCACUGUAAACAAGUUUUAUCAUGUAAACGUUCAAGUGUGUGCGCGCGCCUGGUGUGACUUCUCUUCUGUCUUCCCUUUUGUUUCAAGAAAAUCCUGCUCUAUAUAUCCUCCUGAGAUUAUAUUAAAACCUCGCUAAAAUGUGAAAAAACACAUCAUAUAUAGUCCUUGUAUAUAUGCUGAUCAUAUAUAAAUUUUCCUUUCUUCUAUUAAAUUCCCAGUAAUGGGAUGUAUAUAGUUUUGGAUUUUACAAUAACAGCAACUAUAAAUGACCAUGGCAAUAGACUUCUCUUGAUCUGUUCUUUCAACGACUUAAUUUAAUUUUGCCCUAUCCUUUUGAAAACAUUUCACUAAAAUAUAAAAAGUAAACACAUCGGUAUGCUGAUAAUAAAUCUUGAGUUUUACACCAACAACUACAAAUGACGGUGGCAAUAAAUGCAUGUUACAGGGAAGAGAUAAUUUGCUGUGAUUAAUGUACGGAUCAUGAGCUUAAAACAAUAUUAUUUAGAGCAAGUACUCUUGCAAGGAUGUUGUUUCAGAGCCCAGCACUCUUAAUAAUUUCUUGAUGAAAAACACUACGUGCCAUUAAUUAUUUAAUUUGCUAGUGAAUAAUAUUAUUUGUCGUAUAUUAAUUUCAUCUGGGGUUGGGGUUUGCAUGUGCAGGUGAUGGGAUCGGCGCCGUGGGUUAUUUAGCAUGCAUUAACAUUUUUGUUAUCCAUGCUUUAAGACAAGGAUUUUGAGCCAGGACCCGAAGAAGAAUUGGAGGAUAGAGGAUGAUACCUUCAUGCAUUGCAUGCAGAUAUAUAACACUAAAAAUUAAAGGUGUGCAAAAAACCAAAAAAACCAAACCGAGAAAAAAACCGAUUAAACCGAUUAGAAUAGUUAGAAAAAAUCCUGGUUCGGUUCGGUUUUCGGUUUUGUAAUGCAGGAACCGGUUCAAAAAAAGAUACUAUAAAUAGAAAAAAUUAUCCCCCCAGUAACCCUAGCCACCAACAGCCCCCUCUCACCUCUCCCUCUCCCUCUCCCUCUCCCUCUUUCUCUCCCUCUCCCUCCCUUAGACUUAGAAGCAGCCCCCUCUCGCCUCUUGAUCCUAGAAUGAAUCUGGGUGUAGAAGAUCUUGCGAGGCUUGGGUGCGAGAGGAUGUUGAUCUUUGUAGCUGAGAAAGACUAUUUGAUUGUUGCAGCUAAGAAUUAUUAUGGGAAGUUAAAAAUGAGUGGAUGGAAAGGAACUGUUGAACUUGUCGAGAAUGAAAAGGAAGACCACUACUUUCAUUUGCUUGAUCUCGAUAGUGACAAGGCUCAGGAAAUGAGGCAUAAGUUUGUUUCGUUUCUCAAACAUGACCAGUUCAAUCUCAAACAAGAUCUUCCUAAGUUUGUUUUUGUUUCGGUUCGGUUUCGGUUUUUUUUUCAAAAAAAACUGGUUUGGUUGUUUUUUAUAGGUAAAAACCGAACCGAACCGAAAAUGAUCACCCCUACAAAAAAUACAAGGAGAUUAAUUGUAAAAUACCUUAAUUGGAUUGUUGUUUUUUAUUAAAAACAUAUUUGGAUCAUUUGCCAUGUUAAUUUUCAUUAUAUCGUUAUGUUAAAAAAUAAUAUAAAUCUUAUCAUGGGACCUCACCUAAUAGUUUAAGUUUUUGGGAUGAAUUGACUCUUUAACAUGGUAUCAGAGCUUUGAUGACAAAGUAAUCAUGAGUUCGAAUCUCAUCAUUCUUAUUUAUUUGAUAAAAAUUAAGUACAAAAUAAUAUGAGUAUAUACAAAUUUCAAGUCCAAAAAAUUCUCACUUAAAUGAUAUAUUAAAAGAUAAUAUAAAUUAUAUAUUAAAACAUCACCUAAUAUAAAUGAUGUUUCACACAUUCUAAUUUCAUGGCAAUUUAUUGGAUUCACAGUUCUAUUUUCUUCUAUUUCAGAAGUAAGAAAACUCAUAAGCGGCUAGGUUACCAACAAUAGAUCUUGCAUUAAUAUUUUUAUGAUCCAAUCAUUAACAUGUGAUUGCAUCAAAACUAAAAGACGUGGAGAAAGAAAGAAAUCUGAUCUUGCUGUUUAUUUAAUAUUCUUCAGUGCUUUAAUUAUCACAGCAUUGCCUCCAGUCUUAAAUGUUAUUCACAUGAGAAAUUAACAUGAUGAAUUUAAAGAAACAACUUAUUAGCCUGGGGGCCAUGGCACCCCAAGUUUUGAUAUUGCUCAAUUUGACCCUUACAUUUUAGGGCUAUUUCAAUAUAUCCUUGCAUUUGCCCCCAAACUUGUAGUUGGUCUAAACUCUAAGUCCUUUCUUGUUCUAUAUUUCUAUCAAAUUCAUCCCUCCUCGCAAAAUUCUAGUUGAGAUAAAUAUAUUAAUUAUCAAUUAAACCACUAAAAUCACAUGCAAGAAAUUAUUCACAAUAAAAACAUGGUUUAAUUCAAAACUUUAAAACUUGGACUAGCUUAUCAAGUGACUUAAUUAAAAACCGAAUAAAUAAAUAAAAAUAACUAACCUAAUCAAAACCCAUUCAAAAUAAUAUCGUUUAAAAUUAGAUUAUCCUUCCCUGGUAGAUGAAACCCCAACCCGUCGCCAGGUAUGGCAACAAUGGUUGAAUAACUACUGUGUUUUACUUUUACAAAUCAGACACCUGAAAAUCACCAUGUAAUCUUAAUAGAUUACACGCAGGACCCACCAACUACCUGAUCUUAUAUGGGCCUAACGGUUUAGAAAGAUGGACCCAAAUUUCAACUAUGGGCCUAUAAAAAGCCCUUUAAGAUUUUGCGUUUAAAAUAUUUGCCGGGAAACACACAGAGAUUUCGCGGGGAUGUCAAAAAGGUUCUAUUUAUUCCUUGUUUGGAAUUUGAAAAAUAUAAUCUCAGUCUCUGCUGCUAAACCCUAAAGCCCUUCAAAAUUCACCCCUUCCAAGAUCUUGGGUUGCUUUUUUAUUUUUCUUAAAGGUAAGUCUAUCUGGAUAAUCUUUGGCUUGGUUAAAUUAUCUGUUGCUAAUUAGUCUUGAAGAUAAGCCAUGUUUUUUUUCUCUUCCAAGAUGUUUCAUUUCUUGAAUUUUGUGUUUAUGCAUGUUUUUUCCCUUCAAGAUUGUCUUCUUAUGUAUGUCUUAGUCUUUUGUUGUUGAAAUCGUGAGAAAAUAAUGGAAUUCUGCUUUAUUGAUGGGAUUCAAAUUUUAUAUCCUGAGAAAUCAGACCCUUUUGGAUUUUACAGUUGGUGAAGAAGAAAGAUGCUAAAGACUGCAAUGAGCCCGGCACGCAGUUGUUCAGGUAAAAUUCAAGGAGGGUUCUUACUUGUUUUACUUACUUAUGCUGAUUUGGGUUAUUAUAUUCAUGGAUUGUAGGGUUGAAUUGUUUGUUUUAAUGUUGAAACCCAGAUCAUUGUGCUGCUGGUUCGAUUGAGGAAAAGGAUGCUAUGAGAGUUUGGCUGGAAUUGAAACAAAAUGGAUUUCUCUCGCCUUCGCCAUUGUCUCUGUCUGCCUCAAAGCCAAUGCCAAAGCCAAAGCCUGCUCCGAUGCCAAAUAAGAAGCGAGAGAGACAUAGAAAUGCUGGGUUUAGUGAAAAACCGGAGAUUGCAAAGGUGCGGCGAGUUGAUGAGUUGACUAAGGUUGCUGCGUCUGCUUCUGGAUUGCUCAAGAAAAUUAAUCCAGGGACCACACCUUCCGUUGGCAUGCUGCCAACGCCAAAAAAGCACAGUGAGAUGCGUAGGAUUGGUGGACCAAAGGGAUUAUUGAAGGUUUUAAAGGUAGAACCGACUAGCAUGUGCUCUCGGAUCUCUCCACCAUGUGGGUUGCUUAAUGAGUUCAAUCCAGGGAUCAUAAAUCGGAUACGAAGCCGUAAACAGGUAUUUUCAGUGAUUCGGGAUUUUGUUAGAAGAGAUACAAUAGGAAAUAUUGACAUCCCAAGUAAGCAGGAAAAGAGAUCCGGGGAAAAUGAUGUGAUUGGAUGCCCAAAUAGUUCAUCAGGAAGUGACCAACUGGGACUAUGUUCAAAGGGCCGAAGUGACCAUUUGUGUGUGAAAACAGAAUAUGAUGAAGAGGUUGGUGAUUUGGGGAUAGCUGUGAGAAGGGCAGACAAUGAAGAUGACAAAGAUGAAUUGAAGUCAUCCCUAUCUUCAGUUACAGCAUCUGAAAAUGCAAGCAGUUCUGUUCUUGAUGAGGUGUCAGCAAGCACAGCAAGGGGUUCUUCUCUUUCUCUAGAAGGUUAGUUUCAAUUUUGAAGUUAAAGCCUAGCCUAGUUAAGUUUUCAAAGCUGCUUGUAUAUAAUGAACAUCAGUGAUAUCUGUAUAUAAAGUACAAAAGAUUUUCUUUUUCUCAAAAUUCCACGCGCAGCAAAAUUUUCUUACUCGGAAAAACUGGAGAAGACAUCCUUUUAAUGUCUCAGAUUUACCUUACUGAAGUUAAACAUUAGCAUCUAAUUGUUGAGAAUGAGGGCAUGUACUUUUAAUGUCUCAGGUUGCUUUGAGUAGAAUUCCCAUCUCCGCUAACUGUGACGUGUAAAGCAUACAUUUUUUAUUGAUUUAGUUUUUUUGGUUCCCAGAUGCUACUGCAGCUUCUCAAUGGUUGCAAUGUCUUCGCCACGACAUCACAUGGCGUCUUGAAGGUGCAUUGCUCAUUUAAACUUGUCUGGUUGUUUGUUAGAGUAUAUAUUUGCUUGUAUACCAUAAAGCAUCCUUUGUUUCCUUUUUGCUGCCAGCAUCGACGCAUGGUAGAACGAGGAUUCAAAAUGCAAUCCAGAGAGAAUUCCCUGCCCUUAUGCUCAAAGAAUUUUCAGUUGACCAAGAAACUGAUUUCUUGGCUGCCAAAAGGUUUGUUUCUUUAAGCAUGGAUGUCCAUAAAGCAAAGUGGAUAAAUCAGUUUGACCGGAUGGAUAAGACACCCAAUGAAGAGGCGGAUCGACUGGUCGGUAAUUAAGCAUGUCACUGGAGUUCCUUCAAGACACUAAUGGCCAUCCACUCUGCAGAAUUUUAUGAGCAUGCACUUAGAUGAAGAUUAUCAUCUAAAAUGACACUUACACUACUGAAUGCCCAACAUCAAUUCUAGGAACUAUGGUUGAACCAGGUAAUGGAAAUGCAGUCGCGGAACUAUGAAGCUUUUCAUGUCUUAAUCAGUAUACAAGACGUCAACAUCAGGACAUCAAACUUUACUCUUCUUUUUCUGUUUUGUUGAGGUGGUUACUCAUUACCGUGUUUGUGCUUUGAAGGUAGAUAUGGCCGGCUCUUCUUCAUCAUCACCAUCAAUGGGGUUUGAUUUUGAUGAGAAACUACAUGUUUUAGCUGUUGAAGCUGUUGAUGAUGGCUUGAUAGAUCGGAAAGCUAUUGAAAGGUUACUCAUCAACUCUGAAUAUAAAGGUAUGGUAUGGUAUGAAAAUGAUGUAAUUCCUUGUGGAUGUGUCUAUAUAAUCUCUUUUCUCUAUCUUUUCACUUAUUAGCAUUUCUUUUUUUAGUAACUUUGUUCUUUAUCUGUUGGUAUAAUUUGUUACCAAAGAACAUUCUAUAACAUAUUUUAUCUCUUUUAUAUUUUAGUUUGUCCAUGGGGUUUUGGUGAACCUUGUUAUAAGUUUCCUAGUUUCUACCCAUGGUUUUGUAGGAGCAAAGACAGCUGAUUCUGAUAAAACGGUACUUUCUCUUUCAUAAUCUGAUGUCUAAGCAGAGUAAAUGGCAUCAUUUGCAAAAGGGAACAGAAAAGACUCGAAAAAUUGAUCACGCUGGCUAGGCUUUCACUGCUGCAAGGACUAGCUAGUCUAAUGGACUGCUGCAAGGACUAGCUAGUCUAAUGGAGAACAUGAUUUCCACUUCAGAAGGUGGUCAUGUCACCAUGGAAGUACUUAACAGGGUCACAAAUGCAGGACUCAUUUCCAAAGUGGACGAUGGUAAAAGACUAGACCCCACAUCUUCUGUUUUGAUUUUUUUCAUUUUGAGGAAAUUGAAAAGGAAAACAACAAUUUGAUUUGUUGUCGUUUCUUCUCGAUUUGUUUGGACGCUAGAGAGGUAGGCAGCAAGGGACUAGGGCUGUGUUUGUUCCGUAGCUGGUUUCAAAAUUUGAGUUUUUUUUUUAAUUAUUUUUUUUAUGUUUUUGAAUUGUUUUGACAUACAAAUGUGAAUUUAAAAAAAUAAAAAAAUAUAUUAUUUUAAUAUAUUUUCAAAUAAAAAUAUCACUAAAUUUAUACAGUGACCACAGCAGAAAAUAAAAAGAAAGCAAUUGAAUAUUUGGGGUUAGCUGAUGGACAUCACACCAAUCACGGUGUAAGCAAAGUAGUCAUGCAAUGAAGGACUGAUUCUAGCUUUCAUGAAUUUAACUCUAUCAUUUCUAACUCGUUUUUUUUUGGUGCAGGACUUGAAGGUGAACCUGAUCAUCACAGACUAUUGCAUGCGAGGAAUGACAGGGUAUGAGUUAUUGAAAAGAAUUAAGGUAAAUAUUAGUACUCGUCUUCAAUGAUGUAGCCUCCACUGUAAUUUCUAAUCUAUUCUCGCUAACAGGAAUCACCUACCAUGAAAGGAGAUACCAGUAGUUGUAGUGUCAUCUGAGAACAUCCCUACUCGAAUUAAACAGUAAUUGCCUGCCUUGCAGUUUCAAUUUGUUUCUUCUCUGGUUUAAUUUUGUCUUUUAAAAAAAAAUGAAAGAAAGAAAUCAUUGAUUUAUCAAAUAUUUUCCACCUAAACAGGUGCAUGGAGGAAGGAGCUCAAGAGUUCUUGCUAAAGCCUCUUCAGCUAUCAGGCGUGACAAAACUGAGUGCCAUAUAAAAAAGCAGAACAAUCCAUCACAAGGAGGCUUUGCAGGGGAAGAUGAACAUGCAGAAAAGAUGUCAAAAGGAGAGACAUGAAAGAAAAAAAUUUGAUUUUGGGGAGUAAUUCUAGGACUACUGCAAUCAAUAGAAGUGUGUUAUACACUAGACUGUUUCAUCCCUUUUGUUAACAUCUAAAGUAGUUAUCUAUAUAUAAGGAGUUGUUUGCCUUUUGUUUCUGCUUAAUCUGCAUUUGUAGAUAAUUUCUUAUUUUGAACAUGGAAUUUGUUAAAAUUGAAGUUCCAAGUUUAUGAGUGCUUAAUAUUAACCCAGAAGCAAGUGAACAGAUGAAAGUCUACAGAAAAAGAAAAACUAAACUGUGCAUCACCAGACAUGUUUGAUUCUGUACUCAGUUACAGGCGCGAAUGAAGGGACCUGAGGCCAUUAAAUGCACACAAGUGAAUAGGAGGGAUUGCAUUGUGUUUUUCUUUCCCUCAGUCUCAAAAGAAUCUCUAUACCAAUUGCAAGGAAGAAUAUACCUUCCUUAAGGUGACUGUACAGAAGCCUCCCUUGGUGCCUUCUGCACACAAAGAAGCUGGAGAACGUAGCUUUUUAGCAUCAUCACUGGGGGAGAUGAAUCAAGACGAUUACCAUCUCUGCUUAUUUUUCUGUCUUCAGGCCCUUCAUUUUCUGCUUUUGUAUUAAGAUGAGUCAAGCUUAUUGGUUCAACAACAAUAAAAUCCAAGCCUCAAUCCAAAACAAGCAUAUUAGUACAAAAAAUAAGUGUAAGAAAGAAAGAAAGAAAGAAAGAAAUGGCAAGGAAGGGCCAUUAAUCAAUUCAAAAGACUUGAGACUUGGCUAUUCAAGACUGAAGGCAAAAUCUUGAUACCUUUAUUCCCCUUUGGGCAUGGAGGAGAAACUUCAGCAUCAUGGUGAUAUCUGACAACAUAAUGGACCGCUUUAGAAACCACACUUUACAAGUUUAAAUAUAAAGCACGAGAAAGAGGGUAUGGCACAUAGUUCAACAAACGUACUCUUUUUUAUCAACACUGCUUUCAGAUUUGUUAGGGAUCUUCACAGAUGAUGAUGUCUCCAAAGGUUCAUCUUUUGCAUCCUUGCGGUCAGGACCAUUAUCCACAGAUUCUAAUGCAUCCAUUGGCUUCAUGUUGUUUCCAACAUGGCCGUUCCAUGUCUCGACUUUUUCAUAAUUGGUUUGCUGAAAUUUUGAUCUAUUUUUCUUUUCUUUGCUUACACUUUCCUUUGCUGAUAACUCCAAAACCAACUUCUCUCCAUGAGAAGCAGCAUCUUCUGAUGAAAAAUCUGGAGGGUUGCCUUUGAACUCAAAAUCUGGAGGAUCCCGAGUAAAAUCUGCCCUGGUUGCCCCAAACUCAACCUUCGAGAACAUAGGGGAAUCAUGAGCGUGCAUACUACUAGAUUUUUGGCAGAAGGCGGACUUUUCAGAGAUAAAACUGUCAGAUGGUGAAUGUUUAACAGAGCCACCAUGUUUGGAGGUGUCAAAAGAGAAUUUGGCAUCAAUUUGUGGUUCAAGGACAAAGGCAUCAAAAGUAUCUUCAGUCCAAGGCUUGGAGCCUGACAAAGGAUGCUUUGUUUCUGAGGUUUGGCAUGGUGAACUGAAACCCAUAUUCAUAUCUGCUGACCCAUAUCCUUCUUUAAACAUCCAACUCCUACGUGACCCUAUUUUCUCCUGGAAAGGACAAUCUAAGUUGCUUGACUCUGAUAGCAUUGGGGUCUGUGUGGAUUUUCCUGAUCCAAAUACAUUAUUUCCUUUCUGAAUUUCUUCCCUAUUUUUGAAUUGUCUUCCCUUGAGAAAAAUGCUUUUAGUUCUGCAAUUGUUUUCAGGGAAACCAGAAGCAUUUUGAUGCCUUUGGCUGCGUCUUGCUCUAGAGUUUGAUGGCGAAAUAUCUGUCACCUUGUCCCUCACUGCCUCUGGAAAAAGUCACUUUAUUUAAAUAUGAGCUUUAGAACAAGCUGAAUCAUAAAACCCUCAUACCCAAUAAAAAUACACAACCUGCAGUGGACGAGCUCGACUCUUCACUGCCAAAUAUUUACGAAGGUAAUGAAACAUCAGUUGAAUUAGAAAAUGAAUUAAGUAAGGGGGCAGGUGUGGAGAACUACUAACAAUUACCUCAACAAGCUCUGGUUGUCUCUAGCAUCUUCUGUGAUAAAGCAAGACCAAUCAGGUUGGAUGGUUGUAUCUCCAAAACCAAAAUUCGUUCGCAGUGAAGGCUUCCUGUCAUCAUGCGAAGGAAAAACUGUGGUGUAUAUAUGCUCAAGUUACUGAGAUAAUUUCACAUAAAACUUGACUUACCUUGCCGCCCUUUCAGAAAUCAUGAAAUCAAAACCAGUUUCAGGUGUUCGAUGCUUCAGAGAGGGUGAAUCUGAUUAAAAGAACAGAGAACAGUCAGUGGAGAGGAAAGGGGGCCCUUUUCUCAUGAAUCUCUCAAUCUUCUAUACCAGAUAUGCAAUCUAAUACUAGCGGAAGGACAAAAACAACAUCCUUUCAUCAUCAUCAUUAAAUUGGUGAUCAUGACAACAACAAUCAAACAGGAGGUAAAAGUCAUUUGAGCAUAUGAUGCCACAAUGGUAGAUCUUAUAGGAAGAAUCCCAGUCCAAUUGGAAUCUAACUCAUAAGACCUUUAACACAACAAGCAACCAAAACCAUGGGACCAAGAAAAGAUCUACUAAACAGCCAGUUAAUAAUCUAUUAUAUAAAAUGAUAAAUAAUCUAUUAUUAAGAAAAAAAGACAAACAAAAAGAAUGGAGGACACUAUCCAAAUGAGAAACUGCUCCUCUGUAAGAAAUUUCAUCAGCUACUAAAUAUUUAAGUUCACACUCAUUCCCAAGACCAUAAGCAAGAAAUGAGAGGGAUUCAGCCAAAAAAACAAAUUAGAAUUUUUAAAAGGUACAUACCAUGGCAGAAAAAUAAACCACACAAUUAUUAUAUAUUUCAUGAUUAUGAUUCUAGAAAAAAAUGAAAAAAAUUGUUUCAUUUUCAUGUAUUUUUUUAAAAAAUAGCAGUAUGAACAGAGGCAUGAUACGAAAUCCAAGUAGCUGAAAGAGAAAGCACCUAAGAUAUUGAAUGCUUCCUUGGCAAUUAUAGAAUCCCUGCAAAAAUAUAAAUAUAAUACCAUAUGAUCAAGAAGCAUGCAUUAUAGUUUGUCAAAACAGGUGGAGAAAGGUCAGGUGUUGAUUAAACACCUUUUCUUCAGCAGAUGACAACCUUCGAAAGCAUCAUCUGGCAAUCUAUCAUUUCCGUAUUUCAGAAAUUCAGCAGAAUUACCAUCCAUAGAAUAUGGCCAGCUAUUCCAAGAAAUAUCAAAUCCCCUCUUAUCAAGAAAAUUGGCAUCCCAUGACCUACACCUUGCUGGAAAGUAAAAAGGUAAAUAAUUAUUCCACACUGGGAUCCUUGGAGAACCACAGGAAGGACUAAAAAUCAACUAUAAGAACAGCUGAUUAAAAUCACUCUGGAGAUGUAAAUAAACAAAAGCUGACCAUAUCCCCAACCUCAGUUUCACCCCAGAAAUCAGCAUUAAACAUGAAAGCCAUAAGAACAGAACUCAAAACACCCCAGAAGUCCAUAUCCAACAUGAUAUUGAAGGAAAAAAUAAUAAUGAUGUCCAUGAUUCAGAAGUUAAUUGAGAAUUUUAUAUCUCAAAAGUAAUUUUUUUCUUCUCUUUUUUUUUUCCUUUUCCUUUCUUAAAAGUGUAAUCAUUGAGACACAAACCUAGAGCCAAGUGAAAUGCCUUAAAUGUCUCUCCAGAACUAGGUAAGGUUUGUUUAAUCACAUACAGUCGGUUUUGAUUGUCCUUCAGCAAGUGCAAUAUUUUCAUCCAGUGGCAAUAACAAAACCUAGAUGCAUGUAAAACACUAAGAAACCACCGUUUAAAAAUUUAAUAAGACUACAGGAAGGGUUUUUGAACUUGGAUAUUACAAAUUUCUGAACUGCAGGAUAUUGCAAAUUGGUUCAUGAAAAACAAGCAUAAAAGGCAUAAUCCAUGAAUGAGAUAAAAAUAUUAAUUGCAUGAAUGAAAAAGCAAACCAAAAAUUACCACCCCAUGUAUCAUCGUUAUUCUCAGUUUCACCAAAUGAGUUCCUCAUUCUACCAUGGCCAUCAAGUUGUACACUUUCUGUGAUGGUAGAUAAAUUAUUAUUUAGCUUGCAAAACGAAUCCUCAAUCUCCAUUGAAAAUUCCGAAGGAUGGCCUCUUAGUGGCAUGUCAACAUGUUGCAUUAUUGCAUCCUGCAUAUGGCAAAUCACACUAAUCAAUUGCAAAUCUCUCUCAAUGAUAUUGAUAUUGUAGAAUCAAUUAUUCUUACAGAGUUUUUUUAGGUUUCAUGCAAUGACUGUUAUACUAAUGUUGCAAAUAUAAAUUAUAAUGGGUAUAAAAAGAUACUUUACAUAUUUAGUUUAUAUAAUGAGAAAGUAUACUUGAACUAUUUUUCUUAUAGAUUUUUGGUUUCUCUAACAUAAAGUUCCAAAAAUCUUUUUAUUUUUUGUAAUAAACUUUUUAUAAAUGAAAAUUAGAAAUAUAAGGAUAUCAUUAUGAAAAUGAAAAUGUUGAAAAGGUUUUUUCAUAAUGCAAAUUUGAGAAGUGUGAAGUUAGAGAAUAGUUCAUUCACAUUAAAAAUGAUAGAAGAACAUAAAAAAAUAAAAUAAAAUUGAUGUAAAAACAUUAAGUUGAUUUUAGUUGUUUAGCAAGUAUAAAUUGCCACAAUUUCAUUUUACAAAACUAUUUUUCAUAAUAUAUAGUAAGGAAAAUCUUAUUAAUUCCUGACUUGAACUAUCUUUGAAAUGAAUCCAUUCAAUAUUAGCUAAUAAGUGAUAGAAAGAUAAGUGAGCAAAUUUCCAUUAAUUAUUUAGAUUAUAACAUUGCAUUAAAUUUUCACUUGAAUUGAUUUAAUUUCACGAGCAACAUAAGUGGAGCAAUAGAGAUAGAAGACAAUGAUGAUUUAUCAAUAAAAAAACUGCUCAACAAAAAAAAAUCAAGAAGGAAAAAAUUAGCUAUAUUAGUCUUUAGAAAUACGAAAAGUAUGAUUUAGAAAGAUAUAUAAAUUAAAAUUCAUAGGAGAUAAAUCCUGUUAGAAUUUAUCAUGCAUGAAAAAUGAUUUAGUUAGUUCAAUUUGUUACAUGCAUGAUAUUGGCUUUAUCAUCCAAAAACAACUUAGGUUUUUAAAAAUUUAUAUGAUAUAUGGUAUAUCCAAAACUACAUUCUAAUAUUCAAAAAGAGAUGGAGAGAAUAAAAUCACCAUGCAUGGCCACAUACAAAGCGUGUUUAAAAAAACUAGUUGACAUAAAACAUGCAGAAGGUAAACAGCAAAUGAAGUAGAAUCUUUCAUACAGUUUAAAGGGCAUGCAUAAGUUUCUGAAGGAAAGACAGGAGUUAUUUACUAAAAUGAAACAGAAAAUUAAAGGGGAGAAAUCAUAUGAGAUAUAACCAAGGAAGAAAUUUGAUGUCAUACUUUAUGGAGGUGUACUCAGUAAAGCACUUACCACUUCAACUUCAAGGUCAUUCAGAACAUAAUCAAGGUUCUUUGAUGAGCUUAUUUGCCUUGCAGCCUUCAAUGGUGAGGGGCAGCCAUAGGAAACAUAUCUAUAGUCACAUGAAAAUUCACUUAAAUGGUGUUCAAAUUCAUAGCUUAUUCUCCAUGUAGAGUUUCUUCAACUUGAUAAGCAAGAUAUAAUUGCAGCUCUAUACCAUAGAGAUUAAAACUAAGUGAAAGAAAUAACACGCAAAAGAGAAACACAAAAAUUUCUAUACAUUUGUCAUGCACGGACAUGAUACACUCUACUGAACUUUCCACCUUGAACAAAAAAAAAAAUCAGAUCAACUAUAUUGGGCACAAUUUUAAUAUGUCAGCAGUCAACACAAAUUAUAUGGGAAUAUUUUAUGAUAUAUGUAUUAUUUCAACUUCCUUUAUAGCAUCAUCCAAUAAAGUGGCAUAAUACUCGCAUGUUAAUAAUAUCCCCUGAAAAGAUUUCCUACUGGUUUCAAUUACAAUUAUAAAUACAGAAGGGUCCUGCAAGAUCAAGAUGGCUGCAGUUUUUAAAAUUAAUUUCUCAUAGCUUUCUUCAGAAAAAUAGACGCAAAUUCCACUGGGAGUGAAAAAUACAGGCACAAGCCUAAAUGGGUUCAAGUACCUGUCAGGUUGUCGCGGUGAGUAGGGGGGUGUUUCUGCUCCCACUUUGCCCAAACCUGACAUGCAAAUGCAGGCAUCAAAAUAGUUUUGUGGAUGACAGAACAACAAUGACAAGUGUGGAAGAAUGAUAUAUAUUUACUCAUAGGUUACAGAACUCUGUUAAGCCAGCUUCCAUAGCAAAUUGUAGAAAUUGUUAAACAGGAAGUAAUACUAAGAACUUAGGUAUUUAGAUAUGCAUGCCUAAUACCUAAACUAUAUACAAUAGGGAAACAUUGUACCUAAACAGAAAUUGAUAACAACCUUUGAAAUUAUUUUCAGAAAAAGAUUCUCCCCUAAGAACAUCCAGAACUAUUUUUUUAGCACCCAGUCAAGUUUCAGGGAAAAUGGAACUAAAAGGGACAGAAAAUUUGGAGAUAUAUGUAGAGAUAGCUGUAAGAGAGUGUAUGCAGAGGUGUAGCACGUGAACCCUGCACACUCUUCGUGAUAAAUAAAGGUAAGAAAAUGACGGAGAUUGCAUUUAUAAGGGUGAUAUGUGAAGGACUAAUAGGUCUUUUGAAUGACUUUCUGUUAUUCCUCGCAUAUUUCUUGGUUAUCUUAUAUCUUGAAAGAUUUUCCAGUUUCCUGCUUAUCGCUGAAGUGGUGAUGCCUUCAGCUUUAGAAGAGAAAUUAAAGCAAAAACCAUAAACUUCUGGAGACACUAUUGGAGAAGAUGCUUUGUUUUGUAUCGUACAUUAUAUGCCCCAAGAUCCAGUUGACCAAAAAUUUAAGUGAAUUCAAUUGAAAGUGCAACAAGUGAAGUACUAAUCUUGCCUUCAAAUUCCAAAUCAACAAGACCAUACCUUCAACUGAAAAUGCAACAUGAGCUUCACGUGCUGGACUUCCAUCUGACUUUCCAUUUGGUUCAUCAUCAGCAAGCAAAUCAAAAACAGAUGAUGCUGGAAAACAAAUCAGGGAUGAAAGAAAAAGAGUUACGAAAAUUUCCAAAGCAUACAAAAAGCUGCUUAACAGCAGAAGACCUUAACUGACGAUCCCUAGAAACAAUCCACGAAUAAAUUUCCAGAAGCAACUACAAUGAGAGCUGUAUACAAAGAAAAACUAUUGCCCGAUGAAUAUUUGCUAUUUACAUUGCUGAGUUGUCAUCUUGCAAGGAUCCAUUUUGUUUUUGCUGCUGGUUCCACUGAAAGCUUUGCUGCGAUUAUUUGAAGAGCUAAACAGAACCCUGUAAUAAAAUGAAAACCAAUUCAACACUAGGACUGGACCAACAGAUGAUGCUAGAUGUGUCUAUGUCCACUUUGGAACCUUACUGGAUGAAGUGCAACAUGAUGAUAGAAGUUAACUAAUUUGUGUCAGUGUAAAGUUGUAUGGCUUUGUUGAGUAUAACUGAGCAAGUAGAAGAGUGUUUCAUAAAAUCAAAACCAUGUGCAUGCACUCUCAUCACACCCUUACUCACUUCUUCGGUGAUACAGUCUCCGGUUGGUAGCCUGAUAGAGUUCCUUUCACAAUAAUAACAGCAAUCACUAAACAUCAUUUAGCACUUUACAAAGUCCAGAAAAAUUAGAAAACAAGGCAUGAGAUCACGUAGCAGUGCACACAAAUUAGGAAAAAUACUUGUUUCCAUGAUUUCAGGAGACUGCAGAGGACCGAUAGGGUUGGCUCGAAUUAUUGGUGGAUCCUUGAAGAUAUGGGAGUUGACUGUUGAAGCAUUGACCUUUGCAUCUUCCCUUCCUUAAGUGGGACAUGAAGAAAAUAGCAGAAAGAGAAAGUUAACAAAAUUAGAAAAAGACGGGAAAAUGUCACGGAUUUCAGAAGGGCUACCAGGGUGGCAAGUAGACGUGCAGUCUUUAGCAAUUGUUGACCAGUUCUGCAAACUAAGAACAUCCAAUGAUCGAUGAUGUUCUCUGCAAUUCUCCCCUCGAAUGUUAACCCCUUCUUCAAAGCUGUCUAACCCAGCUGCCUGCUGAUGCUGUUUCCUUCUCCUUUGUUCAAAAUACUGCUUUUGCCUAAGCAAAUCACAUAAAGGUACAUACACAUUAUACACUAAUGCCUAAGUAAUGCAAUUCUCCAAAAUAUUAGGCAUUGAUAUUAACCCUAAAAUCACAAAAAAAUAGAAAUUUUAAAAUAAAAAGGUUUCCAAUCCAUACCUCUUCUGAGUAGAUCUCCUUGACUUAAAAAUUUUAUCGAGAGAUGACAUGAAAUGAUGCAAAAAAGACAGAAGAUUUAUUCACUUGGGUUAGAAUAUAGAGUGCAAAUUCAAUACCGAUGAAUCCAUACAAAACUUGCAAUUAAGAGUCCCGAAGAGAAAUUCAGUGAAGCUAGGGGGGGGGGGGGGGGGCGUACAGUAGUGACUUUCCUUCUUGAUCCUCCCAUCCAUUGCAACAUUUGCACGCUUAAUAUUAUUAUCAGAAAUAGUAAGAUUGCAAGCAAAAGGCUCUCUGAUAAUAAACUCAAAUUUCAUACGGAGCAAAAUGAUCCAAUCAGAUGAAUCUAAAGCGAAUUGACGAAACCUAGACGAAGAAGAAUACGAAGAAGAAGAAGAAGAAGAAGAAGAGAGGACGCUCAUUCAUUGAUGGAGUGAGUGCUGCUUGAUUAUUUUUGAGUGCUAAAUGCUGAGAGAGCGGAAAGAAACUGUUUGGUUCUGUUUUUCUAAAAGGCGCCAACUUAUAAUUAAAUUAAAUAGGACUAUUUGAGCAUCCGUUCGUAGAUGACUAGUCGUUGAGGACGACAAAUGAUUAGUUUUUAGUAUAUUCAAGCCAGUUUGUCUGUUACAUGAAACUAAAAGGUAAUAGCUUGAAAAUUCAAGGUUUUUUUUUUUUUUUUUUGUAGUUCUAGGUUUGAGCCCUGUGGUUGCUCACUGGAGAUUUAUAUGGUCGUUAACUUCAGGACUCGUGGGAUUAGUCGAGGUGCGUACAAGCUGGCCCGGACACCCACGUUAAACUAAAAAAAAAAAAAAGGUAUGUUUGUCAUGAAUUAUAAAAUAUAAUUUUUAAUUAUAAUUAUAAUUUAAAAGUUACUUUUCAUUAAUAAUAUAUGAUAAAAAUAAGUUACGUACGUUAAAAGUAUGUUUUAUAAAAAUGAUUGAAAGCAAUUUUUUUGACAAAAGAAGUUUGUAUAAGUAGUUAGCAUUAAUAAGUCAAAAGUUAAAAAUUUUAAUUCUAAGCUAAUUUUAUAACAAAUAUUCUAUACAAAUAAUAAAUUGUUUUUAACCAUUCAUAUUUAUAAUUUUUAUCCAUGUUCAACUAUAUAAAACAACUUAAACUAAUUUAUAAAAAUCAUAGUAAGAAAAUCUAUAAAUUAUUUUUUUGAAAGUAUUUAAAGAAUCGAGUAAAUCAGCUAGGUUAUGUUAAGUUAAUUUUAAAAUAAUUUAAUUUUAAAUUUGAAUUAUAAAAAAAAUUAAAUUAAAAAAUUUAAAACGUUCUGUUAAGUUUAAUAAUAAUACUAAAUAAUUUUUUAUACUCUGAAUAUUUACGAGCGAUCCUUGCAUCUCUUUAAAGAUUACGAAAUUACAAUAGGGAAAAAAAUUAUGAAAGCAAUUUUCUUUAAUUUUGCGGGCUCGAGUUAGGUGAAUGAAUCAUGAAUAUAUAUGGCUAGCACCUCUGGUGUUCGAUGCUUCCCAGUUCCCACUUGUGGGGGUUUGUCGUAUGUUUAUAGCAAAUAUGGUACUGUUGGGCCAUGCGUUGACUUGGCUUCGGGCCUAUUUCCUGUUUUUUUCAAGGGAAAAAAAAAUCCAUUCAUUCAAUCUCUUGUCCUGGUCAAAGAUGGUGGCAUGCUGUGUUACUUCAUGAGGUCUGCAAAGAAUAAUGGUAUUUACAAUUAUUGAAAAAUAAAGAAUACAUGCAGCAGGAAGAAAUAAUAUAAACAUAUUUAAAAAAAAAAAUAUAUAUAUAUAUAUAUGAUUAUGCUCUUCCUCCGGGUUGAACCCAUAAAUUAUUAGGCCUAGAUAUAUUACAUGGUUCAUGAGUUUUUUAGUGUCCGAGAAGUUUUUUAAACCCGUUAAAUUUAAGUAGAUCACUUGCCUCCUACAAUUAUGUCUUGUUACCUUAGUUAAAGGCGGGAAGAUAUAUGGGAAAAGGCUAUGGAAGUUGAAAGGAGAGGAGGAAGAGCAAGGACUAAGGGAAUUAAUUGAAGGGUUGAGGAGACCGGAAGAAGAGCUCGGAGAGAAGCUUUAAUUUGGUGGUGAGCACUUGUUUCAAUCACGUUGCUGGUUCUGUGCUUUUGAGGAUUUUAGCAUCGAUGUAGAGCGUCCAAGGAUCACAGCAUGGGCCACCUGCAAAGGGAAGGUGUUUCUAGCUCUCCUCCUCGCCCGCACAAGAUCUCCGGCUAUAUAUUAAAUUAUAUGAAAUUGCAGGCAGUUUUUUUAAAUACAAUUCUUCCUUUCUGAGAUCUCUUUCUCAUUCUAUGCAUUUCAUUUAUUUAUUCAUGAUAUUUUUUUGUGAGGUGAUUUUUAUAUGUUAAUUUUAAGUUUUUAAAGUGCACUGAUAAACUGUCCAGGCAAAGAACUACAAUCUAGGAAACAAAAAACUAACACGACUAGGAAACAAACAGCAAACUAGAAGAGAAAUAACAAACAACCAAUCAUAACAGACAUGUGCUUCCAAUAGUUGCCUCCUGUGCACCCACUAGCAGACCACGUGAUGUCUUAAGGGACACCUUCCUACCCAAACCAGUAGCUCAUGAUCAUAGUACAUCAGAGGUCAUGUGCACAGGUUUGACCAGAAAUGUAUACAAAAGAACGUAAUGCUCAAGUGAUGAAGAAAUAGAGAUUUUAAUGGAGUUUUCAAAGAGUUACACAUUUCAUGACGAGCAUGGAAAGGUGCUCAAUCAAAAUCCUUAUGCACACCGAUAUGAGCUCCUUUCCAAACUGUUCGUGGACUCCAUGUAAAAGGGGGAAUUCACAGCGUAAGGCCCAAGGUACAGGAAAUUAAAUAUAAACUUAUUGCAGAGUCUUAAAAAAAGAUCCCUUCUGAGUUCAUAGCUUCAUAGAUUUACAGUGACACCCCCAUUAUAUCAUAAUUAGACAAUUCCAUCUGGAUCCCGCAUCCAAAACCAUCCCGCUUUUCUUCUUCAACAGUCUUACAGUAACAAAACACCCAGAAAAAAAAAAAAAAAAGUGUGAAAUGAAAUUAAAAGGACCUUGGCUUUGCAACAAUAGUGGAGUGCUUCAAUAUGUGCAAACUGAACUGUCCACCUUUCUCUGCGGUGUCGAUCUUUGACUGUCCGGGAGGAGGCAAGAGCUCGAAAUUCUGUACCAGACGUCCCAGAGUAAUGCCAAGAAUUGGCAAUGCAAGAAUAAUUCCAGGACAGCUCCUUCUCCCAACUCCAAAUGGAAGGUACCUGAAAUCAUUGCCAUUGGCCUCAACCUUGGCCUCCUCUUCCAAGAACCUCUCUGGCCUGAAUUCUUCAGGGUUUUUCCAGUGGGCAGGGUUGUUGGCGAGCCACCAGGCAUUGACCAGGAUCUUGCUCUCAGCUGGAAUGUCGAAGCCUCCAAGCUUGGCAUCAUGAAGGUUCAUGUGUGGGACAAGUAGAGGAAUUGCCAUCCUAAGUCGGAGGGUCUCUUUGAUUACAGCAUUAAGGUAAGGGAGCUUGUAGGUGUCAGGCUCGGUGAUUUGGUGACCAGGUCCAAGCAAGGUAUCGAGCUCAUGGCGCAACUUCUUCUGGAUUUCAGGAUGGUUCACAAGCUCAGCAAUUCCCCACUCGAUCGACCAUAGUGUUGUCUCAAUUGCUGUUCCAUAAGACAAUCAAUUUAAUUUAGCCAAUUAAUCUACUAUUGAAUUCAACCCGUACAAGAAUAUAUUUAGAUGAACAAAGUCUUCUUCUAAAUUUUAAAUUCAAAAAAAUAGAGAAAGGCGUAAAUCUUUUUAACUAUCACACCUACCUCUUGAGAAGAAGAAAAAAUGUUAUUUAACAUGGGGAAGGUGAGAAAAUCAUUCCCUCUAAAAAUGUUAUUUAACAUGGGGAAGGUGAGAAAAUCAUUCCCUCUAUAUAUAUAUAUAUAUAUAUUCUACAAUACACUAUGACGUGGAAUAGAAGGAUAAUGGCCAUAUGACAUUUGAAACUUUCUGAAAAGCCUAAAGUAACAACUCAAAUUGGAGGUGGUUGGAACAGAUCUCAUGUGCCUCAACUGCAUUAAAUAAAUUAUAUUUAAAAAAAAAAUUAAUUUUUUACUUAAAAUGAAAUUUUAUUAUUAUUUUAAAUUGUUUUGAUGUGCUGAUAUUAAAAAUAAUAUUUAAAAAAUAAAAAUAAUUUUAUUUUAAUAUAUUUCUACAAAAAAAAAUAUUUUUAAUCACUACCACUAUUAUAAUUUUAAACAAACCGGUCGGCAUCCCCACAGCUCAUAGCUGGUGGGUGGUGGUCCAGCUCUUACUUGCAACCUAACACCACCAAUUCUGACUCAACCCCUUGUAUAUAUUUUUUAUAUAUACAGAAAGUGAGAGAUUUCAACGGACGGGGAUGAGAUCUGAAUCCAGCCCAGUCCGCCGCCAUAUGGUUAUUUUUUAAAAUAUAUUUUAUUUUAAAAUAUAUUAAAAUAAUAAUUUUUAAUUUUAAAUAUCAAUACAUUCGAUCUGAAAAAAAAAAACAUAAAAAAACAUCCUAUGCCAAGGAAAAGUUAAAAAGUUUUGAAAAGGGCCGUUCAGUCUGUGUAAUAUCCUUAAAGAUAGGAAAUUAACACUGAUUGUGAAGUUAGGUGGUUAAGUGAUGGAAAACGAUACCGACACCCACACGCCUUCUAACUCAAUCCUAUCACUUGGCAUUUGAGAUAUUAACCUUACUUGGGGGGACCUCUUAAUAUUAAUAAAUUUUACUUGUAAUUUAUCAUAGGGUUGACAUUUGGGUACUGGAUGUUAAUUUACUUGCAAAAAUGCCCUUCCACUAGUUGAGCAUGAAACGGCACCUACUAGUCAGGGAUAGAAAAUAAUACGGCACCUACUGGUCAGGUAUAGAAAAUAAUAAAUUAUAUUUAGGCUAUGUUUGUUUUUUCGUUUUAAAAAUGUUUUUGAAAAAAUUUAAAUUUUUUUUUUCUUUAAAUUAAUAUUUUUUUAGUGUUUUCAGAUAUUUUGAUGCGUUAUAUUAAUUAAAUUUAAAGAAUAAAACAAAUAUUAUUUUAAUAUAUUUUUAAAUAAAAAAUAUUUUAAAAAACAACUCAUUUCAGAACAGGCUGUGAAGUAGUAAAAGUGCAUACCAGCGACGUUGAUGUUCUCAACAAUGUAAAGAACGUUGUCCUCGUUGAUCUCUCCUUUCUUUUGAGCAUCGAGGAUAUGGUCUAUGGCGCACUUCAACCCUUCAUUGUUCAUGUUCUUUGUGCUUGCAAGUUUCCUAUUGUACAAUAACAACAUCAUUAAUAUUCAUUACCAUCUCUGCCUAACUCGGCCUUCAAACAGAAUCAUCACGGUUUCAAUUACAAAAGAAAAGGACGAGUCGCUGGUAAAUAGGUUGAACCAAAUCAAUUAAAAUUUUAAUCAGGUUGUAAUCAAGGCGUGUUUGAGAGUGUGGUUAGUGUUUUUCACUCGAAAAUAUAUUAAAAUAAUAUUUUUUUUAUUUUUAAAAAAUUAUUUUUGAUAUCAGUGCAUCAAAAUGAUCUAAAAAUAUCAAAAAAUAUUAAUGUGAACAAAAAAAAUUAAAAUUUUUUUAAAAACAUCUUUAAAACAUAAAAACAAACCUAACCUAUAAACUAACCCGAUAGAUUAACCCGAUUAACUUUAAAUUAAUUUUUUUAAUAAGAAAUCUAGAUUAACUCUUCAAAAGUAAACAGGUAUAUAUACACAGACCUCGAUGUGCAGAAUCACACAAGAUGCCAAAAAACUAGGCGCACAAAAUGCCAAAACUAUAAAUUCCAAACGGCAACAACCAUGAAGACAUGGAAGCUGCCAGUCCAGAGAACAGACACUAGAGCUGCCGGCUAGUUAUCCAUCAAAAUCAAACUCCCUAAGCAUGACGCUGUAAGUGAUGAAUAAGUAGGAAGAAAAAGAAGAGUUGAAUUAUAAUAUUAAGGAGGGAUUUUAUUGAUAUAAGUAUUUACAUUAUAUUUUUUUAACAUCAUGAUCUAUCUAGAAUAUGCUUUUAAGGCCAGAUAGUAUAUACUUGAAUUGAUUUGAUUAGUUGCCUGAAUAUUAAGUCCCAUAAAAAAAAUUAAAAAUAGUAAUGCACGAAUUUGCAGGGAACUAAUAAUAAUAAUAAAACUUAAUAUUAAUAGAUUACUAAAUUGUUCAGGAUUGUUUUCGAUUCAUUAAUUAAGAUCUAAUUAAUGGCCAAGAUUCGAUGUGUUAAAAAAAAAAAUUUAAAAAAAAGGAAAGGAAGAGAGAAACUUACUUCCUCUCAUCGACAAAGUAGUCCUUGAAGAGUUGCAACCUUCUCUCCUUAACCUCCUGGCAGAUCUUCAAGUAACCUCUCAAGAAAGGUCUCAAAAUGGGGAUGAAAUCACCAUAAUUAUAAUCAAAACUCUGAGCCAAUCUGCUCCUCUCACCAUUCAAAGCCUUGAGCUUGUUAAACAAAGGAUCGUCUUCGCUCUCAAAUCUCCUAUCAAACAUAAUCCUGUACAUAUUAUUAUACAUCAUGAGUUGCAAUCUCCUCCUCAAAACAAUCCCAUUGGUUGCAGCCUCAGGGUUUUUCUUAACAUCCUCGACAACUUGAGCGGCUUCCUCC
This 82539-nucleotide long non-coding RNA is filed under the name Populus trichocarpa (black cottonwood). Its description in RNAcentral is "long non-coding RNA (PTRI_LNC003167)". The record is from RNAcentral. Lineage: Eukaryota; Viridiplantae; Streptophyta; Magnoliopsida; Malpighiales; Salicaceae.